This 52845-nucleotide long non-coding RNA is filed under the name Eutrema salsugineum. RNAcentral describes it as "long non-coding RNA (ESAL_LNC001216)". Lineage: Eukaryota; Viridiplantae; Streptophyta; Magnoliopsida; Brassicales; Brassicaceae. The record is from RNAcentral.
UUGUAAUGUCAAGGUUUAACAAUCGUAUAGUAUUAGAUGAUUAUAGUGUUUUGUUAAAAACCGCUUAUAAUCUAUAAAUUAUGAAUCUGUUACUAAUAUUAUACGAUAUUAUAGGGUCACUCACCUAAGCAAACUAAAUCGAUAAUAUAAUUAAUAUACAUGAGAAAUAAAGAGUAAAUUAGAUAUGUCAUAUAAGAUAUGCAUCACGUGAUAAGCAUAAGACGACUCUUAUUAAAAGGCAAUGGGCUUUAAUCCAUUAAGAGUUAACAUGCUAGGUUAAAUAAGUUCAUUAUAUAUAGGAGUAGUAGUAUUGAAAACUCUCUCUCUCUAAUCUCACACCUAUCCUUCAGAGAAAGAGAGGAAACUUCCGAUUUCAUUCUGAAAUCGGAUCUUCUCCGGCUUCAUCUGGUUUUUUUGGUGUAAAUAUUCCGACUUUUAUCGGAUCUCUCUUCCGUUUUUAUCAGAUAAUAAAUUUCCGACUUACGUCGGAUUGUUUUCAUCCCUCUUUCCUCUGCAAUUCGGAUCCUCUUAUAAAAAGGGGUGGUGCUGUUCAGAUCUUGUGGUCAGUGUCGGAGUUUUUCUUCUUUGUUUAUUGGUAUCAUCCUCUCUCGGCAGUGAGUUUAGAUCUCCCCUGGUGCCCUCUCAACAACCUUUCUAAGGCAAAGGGCGGCAUGUCCUGAGGCAAAGAUGAUCGGUGGCCAUGGUGAUUUAAGAAGAAGUAAAAAUCUCUGAUCGAUGAUUCACAUAUGAUCUAAUCGGAGGAAGAAGUAAAGGUGAAGGAGCGUCUGUUUUGAGCAGCAGCGAGUUGACAUGAUCGAUGGUGGAUGCUUUGGUGGUAAAUCUCGCCGGCAACGGAUGAACGGCGUACAACGUAAUUUUCUUUCAGCCUCACACGCGUCCUCGUUUUUGCAUAUCGCUACAUGUGUUGUAACACGUAUUAGGUGGUUGUUUUGGGUCUUAUUUGGGUUUAUUUUAUAUACUGUAUUGGGCCUUUUAAUUGCGUUGUACCUCCUGCCUUUAUUAGGCUUUUCUUUUUUUUGAACAGACGACAAAAAAAUAGCUUCAUUAUAUAAGCUGCCUCUCACGAAAACCCUAAACAUAAUUAAGAGGCAAAUUUUUUUGUCAAGUUUUUGAGAUCUGAUCUCUACAGCACUAGCAUCCCGUCUUCAUCUAGUUUGUUUUGUUUGUGUGCGUAUGAUACCGUUAGAGACACGAAGUUUGAAAUGUUCGCUGCAAGUAAAUUCUAAAUAUGAUAAUCUAGAUUCAACAUAGUAUUUGCAUGAGAUCUUGGAAAUUGAGUUCAUAGCUAGUUUUAUAAAUCGUUAUAAACUGGUAUGAAUUUCAACAUUUUUUUGGUAAAAUACUUUUUUCAAAUAGUAUAUUUGCUAUUUGCUAAAUAUUUCAGUAUACAGUAUGUAAUAAAUCAGAUUUAACUCACCACUGACCUCAUCAUUCAUAUUACUCUACAUUUAUAUAUAUAUAUAUAUAUUGUUUGUUUUGACAUCGAAUUUAUAUUUUCGUAAAAUGUAAUCAUCAUUUGUUAGUAUGUUAUUAUAAAAUCUUAAAAAUUAAUUUAAAAUACAUAUUGAAUAUUAUUAAGUAAUCUAGAGUUAUAUAAAAAUAAAAUAAAUAUCCAUCAAUAUUUUUAAUUAAGUAUAACAUAAAUUCCUGUUUAUAUUUACAUAAAUAUUAUUUAAGAGUCAAUUAAUAAAAAAAUUUUUUUUUAUUUUUUUGAAUGGUUUAAAACUUAAUAUUAAAAAUCUUAUGUAUAAGUGGAUAUGUGUCAAUCUCUGCAUAACUGAUAUGUCAGAAAGCUGAAGAAAAUUGGCCUUCUUUUAUAUAUAAGACUAGGACUUUUGCUGCGCUAUGCGCGGCCUCUUUUUAAAUUGUUUGUCCAUUAUUUUAAUUUGAAUUUUUUUUUAUAUUUUGAUUUUUGAUUUGAAUAUUUACUCGAAUCAAAAUUGGCAACUUAUGCACUAAAUAUUUUUAUGGAUAAUUGUGGGUUACAAAAGAUAAAUGACAUCUAUUCUUUGUUAGUUAAGAAUCAUGAUUGUUAGUAGAAUAUAUUCUGGUUUUUUGUUUAAUAUGUAAUAUUAUGCAUACAUUUAAUUUGUAUGUUUAAAAUGAUGAUUCCCUACAAAUAGGACAUUUUGUUUUUGUUAUUUCUAUCCAUUGAACAAUAUAAUGAUGAUGGUAGGUGUGGCCACAUGCUAUUAUGUUAAGAUCAUCUCUUCUCAUUAAUGGCUUUAGGCAGAUUGUGCAUCCUUCCUUUGCAUCUUCAAGCCUAGAAAAUCUUGAUAUAUCUUAAAAUCACUUAGCUUCCAAGUUAUAUACAUCCCUUUUAAAAAAAGGCCUUUUGUACACACCAAAAAAAAAACAAUCGUAAAUCACUAAUUCAAUUUGAAAAUGGGUUUGUUUCUUUAUUUGGUAGGUUUGUUAAAAUUAUCAAAUUUAACACAUGGUUUAGAAAAACAUAUUCCUAAUAAAUGAGCCGUCACCGAUCCUUAUUUUUACAUUAGUAUAUAUCUUUUUGUUGGGAAUGUCCUAAAAUAAUUCAUACUUUUCUAGUUGAAAUUGUAAUGUCAAGGUUUGAUAAUCAUAUAAUAUUAGAUGAUUAUAAUGUUUUGCUAGAAGCCGCUUAUAAUUUACGGAUUACGAAUCUGUUACUAAUAUUAUACGAUCCUGCAGGGUCACACACCUAAGCAAACUAGAUCGAUAAUAUGUUGGGUUUAGAAUAGCAUAUGUUAUAUAAGAUGUGACAUAUAAGUAAUAUACAUGAGUAAUAAAGAAUAAAAUAGGUAUGCCAUAUAAGAUAUGCAUCACGUGAAUAGGCAUAAGGAAUACAUGGAAUCAGAUUAGACACUCAAGACCUAUAAUGGACUGGACCCGUGGAGUGUGGUUUUCAAAGGCUACACCAAAGUAUUCCUUCAUAACUUGGCUUGCCGCAACUGGAAGUAGGAUAAUCCACUGGCAACAGAAUGCAUCUUCUAACUGUGUUUUCUGCCAGUGUCCUAUGGAAACACGCACACACCUCUUCUUCACCUGAAGUUAUUCCUCAGAGAUCUGGUCCAACCUCGCUAGAGGAGUUCUCCGAGAUCAGUAUACUACUGAUUGGGAUGAUCUACUCCAAAUCAUUUCAAAUUCUCAGCACAAUCGACUGAAGAUGUUUAUGACUAGAUAUUUGUUUCAAGCAACGAUAUACACUAUAUGCCAGGAGAGAAACCAAAGAUGGCAUGGAGAAUCUCCAUCACAACCUCAACACUUGAUUCAGCAGCUCGACAAAACAUUGCGAAAUCGCAUUAGCACAAUUCAGAAGACCGGGGAUAAAUGUUUCAAGGAGGGGUUGACAUUUUGGUUCUCUUCGAGGAAAAUGACUUAGCUACUCUCAUUCUUUUUUUCAAAACAAUUUUAUUUGAUUCUUGACAAAAGUUACAUUUUAUUGUAAAACAGGUUUUUUUUUUGUUGAAUAAAUUUACAUUGAAUUCAAAAAAAAAAAAAAAUAAGCUAGUAACUUAACGUAAGUUGCAUAGCGUAGCCGACUCUUAUUAAAAGGCAUUGGGCUUUAGUCCAUUAAGAGUUAACGUGCUAGGUUAAAUAAGUUCAUUAUAUAAGCGAUUUAUAUAAGCGAUAUAAUGAGUUGUUUAAUUAGCUGUCUCUCACGAAAACCCUAAACAUAAUUAAGAGGAAAUUAUUUGUCAAGUUUUUAAGAUUUGAUCUCUACGGCACUAGCAUCUCGUUUUGAUCUAGUUUGUAUGCAUAUGGAUACUGGGUAGAAGCAUAACGUUUGAAAUGCUAUACAAAUGUACAUUGUUUUCUGUUCAUCUUUCCGCUGCAAGUAAACUCUAAAUCUGAUAAUCUAGAUUCAACUUAGUAUUUGCAUGAGAUCUUGCAAAUUGAUUUCAUAAAUAGUUUUAUAAAUCAUUAUAAACUGGUAUGAAUUCCACACUUUUUUGGUAAAAUACUUUUUUCAAAUAGUAUAUUUACUAAAUAUUUCAGUAUAUAGUAUGUAAUAAAUCAGAUUUAACUCACUAUUGACCUCAUAAUUCAUAUUACUCUACAUUUAUAUAUAUAUAUAUAUAUAUAUAUAUAUAUUUUGUUUGUUUUGACAUCUAUUACUAUUUACUAGCUGAAUACCCCCAUGUAACGUGCAAGGUUUUCUUUUCAACUAUUUCAAAUUUAUAUUUUUGCAAAAGUAAAUGUAAUCAUCAUUUGUUAAUAUGUUAUUGUAAAAAAUUUUAAAACUUAUUUUAAAAUACAUAUUAAAUAUUAUUAAAUAAAAUACAGUUAUAUAAAAAUAAAAUAAAUAUCCAUCAAUAUUUUUAAUUAAUUAUAAUAUAAAUUCUUGUUUAACAUUUACAAAAAAUGUUAUUUAAGAGUUAAUUAAUAAAAAAAAUUAUUUUUUCGAAUGGUCUAAAAUCUAAUAUCAAAAAAUCUUAUAUAUAAAUUCAGUGUCAAUUUCUCCAUUACUGACGUGUUAGAAAACUGGAGAAAAUUGGCCAUUUUUUAUAUUUAACAUAUAUAAGGAAAGUUGUUUGCGACUCAGUAAAUUUGACACAUUAUCAUAUAAAAUUCAUCAUUUAACAAAUCUAAAGAUUCGAUUAUUUUUUUUCCCUAAUGAGAUGCUUCAUGCAUAUAUUUAAUUACAUUAACAAAUAGUGCAAACUAAAAAAAAUCCUGAAAAUAUAUUUUAAUAAUAAAGAAAAUAUCCUAAUUUAAUUUUUCAAACUCCUGAAGCAUAAGUGAACAAAAUCUAAGCUACGUGACUUUUUAUUAUAGAGGUGUGAUAAUCAUUUCUAUAUAAUUUUUAUGAUUUUAUUUGUUUGAUUUAAAUGUUAGAGGAUAUGUUGCAAUCACAUUUUAUAUGAAUUUACUUGAGUUUUUUUUUAAAUCAAACAAAUAAUAUCAUAAAAAGUAUAUAAAGAUGAUUAUUACUCCUCUAAAAUAAAAAAUUCACGUACCUUAGACUUUUUUCAUUUAUGCUUCAGUAGUUUGACGAAUUAAAUCAGGAUAAUUUUUUAUUAUUAAAAUAUAUUUUCAGGAGUUUUGUUAGUUUGCACUAUUUGCUAAUGUAAUUAAAUACAUGUAUUAAGCAUCUCAUUAGAGAAAAAAUAUAAUAUAAUAUUAAAAUUGUUAAAUGAUAAAUUUUAUAUGAUAAUGUGUCAAAUUUGCUGAGUCGUAAACAACUUUUCUUAUAUAUUAAUAGUAAUAGAUGUCAAAACAAACAAUAUAUAUACAAGUGUAGAGUAUACGAAUUAUGAGGUCAAUGGUGAGUUAAAUCUGAUUUAUUACAUACUGAAAUAUUUAGCAAAUAUACAAUUUCAAAAAAGUAUUUUACCAAAAAAAAAUAGAUAUUUAUCCAAAGAUAAGGAUAGGUGACGGCUCAUUUAUUAGGAAUAUGUUUUUCUAAACCAUGUGUUAAAAAUCCAAUUCCAUCUUUCUCUUUCAUCCUACCAAUCUUUUUGACCUUUUUGGUAAAAUAGUUUCAAAAUGAAUUUUUACUGAUUGCUCAUUUUUAUGGUAAAAACUUUGACCAAUUUGUUUUUGUUUUCCAUAAGAAUUUAUAAAACUUCUUACUUGGAAAAAGAUUAAAAAAUAGGAAUAUAUUGACCAAGAAAGUUUUGCAAUGGCAUGCUGAGGCAUUGUUAUUAUCUAAGAGACGUUUCUUCAGUCUCUUUAUCAUUGUCUUUCUCUUCUUCUCGUAUAGCCAAAAUAUGUGGGAAACUGAGGGAAAUGAAAUUAGAAAUCUCUAUCGUGAGAUUCUGAAUGUUGGAUGUUAGGAAUCUUUUUUUUUUCGUACCCAAUUGGUACAUCACAUUUGGCUAGUCAGAAGAUUAAUCCGUAAACCAUUUUCGACCAAUUCGGUAUGACUGAUUUGGGAAAAUAUUACACCUCGUGCGCGAGCUCCUUUUGCAAGGCUAUCAGCCCGGAUAUUUAAACAUAUGGGGAUAUGGGAUAGUGUGAAAUCUGGAAAGUUCUCUCGGAGGAUGCAAAAGGAUUCCAAUUCUAACAUAAAGGCCGGCCAAUCCGUUAGAGACUCGGUCUACUCAGUAGGUCCAAACAAUCGGUUUGAAAAUGUAUCGAUGUCUUAUUUCUCUCUCUCAAGCGUGACAUAGUCUAAAAAAGGCAAUCCAGCUCGGCAUGAAGAGCUGAUAGACUUCUACCGUAUCCCUGCAUACCAAAAAAAUCCAUUUCCCUGCCCUCCUCAAAACUCCAACCGAGACCACUAACCGGUCCAUGAUUGAUCCAAGAGGCAUCAAUCCGGCAUAUCAGGAGUUGCUGGUCCUCAGUAAAAGAUCCUGAGGUUGCAUAAGAUUGCUGCGUCCCAGUGUCUACAUCGUCGAUUUCUUCGGGUUGGUUUGCGAUCCUCCAACUCUCUACUUCCACUCUGGCUAAGAACAAAGUAUCUUCCGGAGAAAUUUCUUUCCCGUUAAAGAUCUUGUCGUUCCUGGCUUUCUAAAUAUAACAUAGGAUCCAAGGAUAUACAUCCUUUUGGGGAUCUGUCAUUCCUAACUCUUUUGUUUUCCAAAAGAAAAAACUCAUAUUUUGGUAAAUAGAGGUACUCGGGAAGAGGCCCAGAAGGAACGGAAAGUCCGAUAACGCCCAGACUUGUAAAACCGGGGGACAUAAGAACAAGAGAUGGUUUAUGGACUCUUCAGGGUCCCCACACCUGGGACAUCUCUCAUCAGUACCCAAAUGUCAGUAUGUAAGAUUAUGGUUCGUUGCCACACAUCCUGAUAGGGCUUGCCACAUAAAGUGUUUCAUCUUUCCAGGUGUGCGUACUUUCCACAUCUGGCUCUGAAGCGCCGUAAUACUCGGUUCUCUCAUCACUCCAGCUUGUCUAACUAACUUCGUCCUUCUAAUUAAGUCAUAACCUGAUUAUACAGAUUAUAAGCCCGAUUUUGUAUGGUUCCAUGCAUAGCCAUCCAAAGUACGGUUCUGGCUAGGUCUCAACCUAAGAAUAAGAAGAACAUCCUCAGAUUGGAACAAUUCUCGUAAAAGAGGAACAUCUCAUCGUUUUGUAUCCUGGCAUAUAAAAGAGUAUACUAACAGUUUUGGGUUGCAACUCCCGACCUGUGGAGCAACUCUCGCCGGGCGAGCCCUAUGGUUUGGGAUCUAAGGUUCGCUCCAGACUCUAGUAUUAAGACCAGACCCAAUUUUCUUCCUUAACCCCACCUUCAGGAGCGGUUUUGCGGCCAUAAUGCUCCGCCACCCAUAAGAUGGUGAGUAGACCCUUCGAUCCUCUAAAGGUCAGAUUGUCUGUAAUAUCUGCCUCUUAAAACCUGAGCCAAGAGAGAUGAAGGGUACUGGAUAAGUCGCCAUAGCUGUUUUACAAGAAAAGCAAAAUUAAAAUCUUGUAAAUCUCAAAAUCUUAGACCUCCCAUGUCUUCAGGAAUGCAAAUCUUUUCCCAUGCAAUCUGUAUCCCACAGCUAUUUUGCUUAGAGCUCCACCAAAAAUUGGCAAUGGCACUCCGCAUUUUGUCAGUAACUCCUUUGGGAAGUAAGAAGCAUGACAUGACAUAGGUAGGUAGGCUUGUGCAACCGAUUUUGUUUGAAUUUCUUUUCCACCUUUGGAAAGAAGUCUUGCGGACCAAUUAGUGACACGAUUACUCAGACGGUCAUGAACAUAAGAAAAAACUUUCUUUUUUGAUCCACAGAUUUGUUCAGGGAGCCCCAGAUACAUACCCAUGCCGCCUUCUGAUGUUAUUCCGAUAGCGUUUUUUAUACCUUGCUUUAUGUUCGGGUGCAAUUUAUUCCCAAACAGGAUGGAUGAUUUCCCUAGGUUGAGUUGUUGUCCCGAGGCUUCUCCAUAUAAAUUUAUGAUCUUGAAGAUUUCGGCUCCCUGCUGGAUGUCCAUUCUACAUAAAUAGAGGCUAUCAUCGGCAAACAGAAGGUGAGAGACCGACGGGCUCGCUUGAGCUAUUUUCAGUCCAGUGAUACGUUUUUCUUCCUCUGCUCCAUUGAGUUGGGAGAUAAGUGCUUCUGUACACAGAAUAAAGAGAAACGGAGAGAUAAGAUCUCCUUGCCACAAUCCUCUCAAUGGUUUAAUUUUUCCUUGCGUUUCUCCAUUGGUAAGGACUUUGUAUGAGACUGAAGAAAUGCAGAACAUUAAUAGUCUGACCCAUCUCGCUGAGUAUCCUAACUUGAUCAUGAGUGCUUCUAUGAAACUCCAUUUCACCCGAUCAUAGGCUUUACUCAUGUCCGUCUUUAUAACCAUGAAAUUUUCUCUACAAUUGGUGUUGGUACGGAGAGCAUGGAAAUUUUCUUAUGCCAACAGAAUGUUGUCUGUAAUAAGAUGCCCAACCAUGAAUGAUGAUUGUGUUUCUGAUAUCACAUUAGGUAAUGUUUUUUUUAGUCUUUUACACAUGAGCUUUGAGAUAAUUUUAUAGCUCACGUUAAAAUUACUAAUCGGACGAAAUUCCGCCAUCGCUCUUGGUGUUUCUUUUUUUAGGAUAAGGCAUAUAUUAGUCUGAUUUAGUCUAGGAUCAAAAUAUCCCGAUACGAAAAAAUCUUUCACCAGUUUAAUUAUGUCGUGGCAUAGGUAUAGCAAGAAUUUUUGAUAGAAUUUUCUCGUCAUUCCAUCUGGUCCAGGAGUUUUAUCCGGAUUAAUAUCAAACAAAGCUUUUCUAAUCUCUUUUUUCCAUCGGUUCCAUCAAAAAGAGGUGGUUCGAGCUGUCUGAGACUUUUUCAGUAAUAAACCGGAGUGAAAUUCUGUGUCUGUAGGCUGUAAUGAGGUAAACAAAUCUUGAAAAUAUUGGGAAGCCACCCGUUCAAUAUCUUUUGCGUUUUCCACCAAAUUUUCAUUACUAUCUUUUAAGGAGACAAUACGGUUCCGAGCUCUCCUUUGUUUAGUAAGGGCGUGAAAAAAUUUAGUAUUUUUAUCGCCAUUUCUCUCGACUCUUCUGUUUCAAAAAAAAUUCUUCUUCACGAUAGGCUGAACAGAGAUUUCUUCUGAUUUCUUCUAUCUCUUCUGUCCUAGUUUUUUCGUCAUCUUGGGCUAUAUCAAGUUGAUUCUUUAAUUCUGCUAUCAUUUUUUCCAAAUUUUUCGGGAGAGACUUCUUUCAAAAGAAGAUAUUUCUACGACAGUCAGCCAUUUUUUUGAUGAAAAUCUUGACGUGAGAUUUCAUGAAAAGAGCUCCAGCCAGUGAUUACAGCCUCUUUGAAACCCGGUUUUUCCAACCAUCUUUUAUCAAACCUAAAGGUUUUUUUCUUCCUUUGGUUAUCAACUCGUAUCAUAGCCAAAACUGGUAGGUGAUCUGAUCCCAUAAUUUCAACUCCACAGUAGUGUGGGAAAAUUUAGAUUGCCAUUCUUUGUUACCAAGGGCUCUGUCAAGACGGCAUUUAACUUUACCGGACCGUCUUCUUCCAACCCAUGAGAAUGAAUUUUCUUUAUACAGAAAUUCUAACAUUCCACAAUUAUCCAACAUAGUCCGAAAAGGGAUAAAUGAGAAUUCCGAUCUCCUUCGACCUCCUCGUUUCUCAUGGUUUCCUGUUAUUUCGUUGAAAUCUCCUAUCAUAAACCAAGCAUCUUUCUGGAUAGGCUCAUCCUGGUAAGACGUUCCCAGACAUGUUCUCGGUUUUUCACAACCGGAUCACCAUAGACGAAGGUCAUAAAUAUUUUAUGUCCGUCUAGAACAGUUUCUACAUCAAUCAAAUGUUCAUCUGAAUAAGAAAUAGAAACCGUAGGUUCAUCCAUAUAAAAAAGGGCUAGACCGCCGCUUCAACCUCUCGGUUCAACGGCAUAGACAUGGUCAUAGCCAAAAUAUACUUGCAUAUCUUGCAGAAAAAACGUUUGUUCUUAGUUUCCGAUAAAAAAUAAAAAACAGGGGGAAAAACUUUGAUGAAGUUCUUUUAAGUGUUCUUUCGUCUGGUCGGCUCCCGCACCCUGACAAUUCCAUCUGAGGAUGUUCAUUUCGGACGGUUUACUGGAUUUUUGGCUUUAUCCAAACCAGAUGUUGAAAAGGCUUUUGGCUUUUGGGCAUUCUCCUUUUUGAGCUAUGGAUUCCUUGUUUUACUUGUUCCCGGCCCAGGCCCAGCAAACGAAUUCAAUCUCCUUCCUUUCCCUUUGACUUUUGGCGAGGUCUAACCCUUAGCGAUUUUUUUCCAGGAAAACCGAAGGGCCGCCAGAGGUCGUGGAAUCGGUAUCUUCUUCACAGCAUUCUUGCCGCAUUUUUCGGUAUCAGCUGAUAUUCCGGUCACAACAUUCUCAUUGAUUGGCUCUCUCUCUUUAGGUUGAGAUCUUCAAAAUAGUUCAUAUAAAUAUAAUCUUAGCAAAAGCUAGAAAUUUUUUCAGCUGUGAGAGAAAGCCAAAACAAGAUCUAAGCAGAAGAAGAGAUACUUGGAGUAGCACAACUAGAACUUGAAUAUUAUUUUUUUUAUUAUUUGAUGGGAGAAAUCCAACACUCUUCUUCUUUCUCAGCCAAAUCUUUCACAAAUUUAAAGAAAAAAAAAACUCAAAAUCUUAGCACAAAGCUAGAAUGUGAUGAAAUCUAGUUACAGAGCAUAUGAUUAAACUUCCCAAAAUGGGAGAAAGUUCCAGUUUUGAUUAUAAGAGAGGUUGCUUCGUGAAAAACGUGAUGAAGGCUUCCGGAGCUUCAAACUGGUAGAUGGAGAUGGUUGUUCAACGGUGGUCAAAGUAUAAGGAGAUGCCGGAGGCGGUAAGCAGAGGCACUGACUUGUUUUCCUUGCUUCGUAUCAGGAAGAGAGAUGUGAAAUCAUACAAGAUUUCUAAACCAGCAGAGAAUUUGAACAGAUCAUAAACUCUUCGCGGCGGUGAUUAGAGGUUGUUGGCUCGCCUUCAACAAGUCGGAACAUCGGAGCAGUCGUCAGGAAACGCCACAGAGAAGAGAGAGAUUCAAAAUUCAAAUCCAUGGUGAAAAAAGAGAUCUGAAAUCCAGUGAAGGCUAUCUCGGGAGAAGGGCUAGAGAGCUUUUCUUCUCUGAGAAUAGUUUUUUCUAUUAUGUUAGAUACAGAGUUGUAAGGAAUCUGAGUAUGUGAAUUUUUUUGUUUGUGAUGGAAAUUCCUGAAUUUUAUGGUUAAACUGCUUGAAUAUGUCUGCAAUCUAAUACAAUUCCAAGUCACGAAAGAUUCGUCGUUUGUGACUUUUAUCCAACCAAUACAGAGGCUUCUUAAUAUCAUUGUGGUUGCGAUGUUGAGAAGUCUUUCUACCGGGUGGAUCAAACUCAUAUAAGUGAAAUUUUUGAUGACUCAACAUUAUUAGAGCGUAAAAAUAUUCAGUCAGUUAAAUGACAAAUUGCUAGAAUCUUAAUCACAGACUGAAGAAUUCAAGAACUCAGAUUCUUUGAAACUACCAUUUUGGGUCUGACAUUAGAGAUUCUUUCGAACGAACACUGGUCUUAACACAUUUCUUGAAGGACAUGAGACAAUAAAACCAGAAAUAUAUUUGAUAGAUUCAUUAAAUUUUAUUUUGUAAUUUUAUAAAUUAUUAUUUGUCUUUUCAUGAAAAAUAAUUGUGUCAAAGAAAGUUUGAAAGGCACAUGAUAAUUAAGUUAAAAUUUAUUAAUUAGUAGUAAUGAUAUUAGUUAGUGCUAAAAAUAUGGAUACAUGUUAAUUUUUAAUUUUUAAUAUGGAAUCCCCUUCAACUAUUAUAUAUUAGACUAGAAGAGAAUCUGCGCUACGCUGCGGAAUUAUAAACUAACAACUUUUAAUUUCUUAUAUAAUUUUAUAAUUUUUUUGAUAAUCUUAAUAAUCUCAUCCAUCCAUUUUUUUCUCGAGUUUUUUCAUUCAAAUCAUGAUUUAGUGAUAAUUUAUUAACUUUCUCAAAUUACGAAUUUUAGGUUUUUUUCACACAUACACACACACAUAUAUAUAUAUAUAUAUCACUAAUUCCAUCUUUUUUACUUAUAUUUUUAAUUUUUGUAUGUUUAUUUGUUGUUGUAUUAUUUUUCUUUUCUCUCUAUCAUUUUUUCUAUAUUUUUAUAAUUUGUUAUUUUUUCAAUUGUUUAUUGAAUGUUACUUUUGGUACCGUAGUUUUCUUCUUGUUUUUUUUAUUCUUUAGAUAUUUAAAACUUGCUUAGACUAUUUUUUAUAUUUUGUCUCAUAUUGUUUUCUUUUGCAUUGAGAUUAAAUUAUCUUUAUUAGUUCAAAAAUAAAGAUUAAAUCACACUUAAAAUCUGAAAUUUUUUUUAUUCAUAUGUUUAUGAUGUUUUAAUCGAAAUUUAAAUUUGAUUUAACUUAUGCUUAUGAUGUUUUAAAUUAGAUUUCAAUUUGAUUUAAAUUAUGCUUAUGAUUUAAUAUUUGUAACACAGUUGAAUUUAAAUUAAAUAGUUUAUAUAGGAACUAAUAGUUGGGACAGAUUUGAAGUUAUGUUUUUAAUCUUUUAGUUCAACUUCUGAUUUCUUUUGUGAUUUAAUUUAUAUUUUUUUUCCUUGAUGAUCCUAGCUGGUAAUCUUUUCAAUCCAUUGUUUUUUACAUUUUUCCAUUGAAAUCUUCAUCUAGCGAUUAUUUUUACUUUUUUCAAUUUACUAUUUUCAUGUUUUGUUUUCAUUUUUUAGUUGGUUCUAUCUAUGUUUGCCAUGCCUCUAUAAUUUUAUAUUUAUUUAUUACCAUAUUCUUUUUGUCAUUUUUUCUUUAUCUUUUGAUUAUUUAAUAAAUAUUCUUUUGUGUGUUUUGACUUUCUAGCUCUUAUAUUUUUUAAAAAAAAUUUAUUCUUCAGUUUUUGGAAAUUUUUAAUUUUAUUACUUGUUAUUAAAUUUUUAUUUCGCUGCGAGAAAAUUAUCUUUGUUAUUUCAAAAAUGAUGAGUAUAACACACAGUGAAAAAAAGACCAAAUUAAAAUCUAAUAUCAGUUUUUUUAUUUAUACAUAUAGGAUAUUUAAAUUAAAUUUGAGUUGAAUUUUUAUUACUUUAUGAUUUAAUAUUUUUAACAUAAUAAAAAUCAGAUUAAAAUGGUUGAUUCAUUUAUAUUCAAAAAAAAAUUUGUAUAUGUAUUAUUAAGAAGAAUAAAUAUUAAUUUCUUAUUGGCUCUCAAAUGUUGAGUUGUCAAUCCGUGGAGGAUGCCCUUCAUCUUUUAUAUAUUAGAUGCUUAGAUAAUAAAAAAAAUAUAAGAUAAUAUCUUCUAUUAUUAUUUUACAAAGACACAUUAAAAAAAAACUUUUGUGUCAUGUGUAAUUUACAAUUGUGCCAUGCUGAAGUGUCAAAUUCAGAGAGAUUCUCAGAAUUAUAUUAAAAAUGGUCUCUAAUUGCUAGAAUAAUUACAAUUGUGUCAUUUUAGGGUUGUUUUGAAAAUAAUGACGUUUUUAUUAAGGGAAAAACUCAGAUCUUAUUAUUUCCAUAAGCAGUGUAUAUAUACAUUACAUAACUAAUGCAUCAGAAACCCUAAUGGGCCAUGAGACAUUAACCUGAUGGUUAAUGGGCCGGUUACUAGAAGUCCAUUUGUUUCUAACACUCCCCCUUGGACAAGGUAACCGUGCCUGUCACAAAACCGGGAUCUCUAUAAUGCGCUGGGGAACGUUGCCUCAUUAAAACCUUACCAGAAAAACCCAGUGGGAAAAACCAUGGUGAAGGAAAAAGAGUACAACACGCAUUACUCCCACUGGUUUAGGCAUCACUGUAGAUCUCUAAGUCUACGCAUUCCUAUCUGAUGAAUGAGCUUCCGGAGUGUAGAAGUCGGUAAUGAUUUAGUGAAUAGAUCGGCUGAAUUUUCGCUUGAUCGGACUUGCUAAACCUUGACCUGACCAUCCUUCUGUAGCUCAUGAGUGAAGAAGAAUUUGGGCAGAAUAUGCUUCGUCCGGUCACCUUUGAUGUAGCCGUCCUUGAGUUGAGCGAUACAAGCUGCAUUGUCUUCAUACAUCACCGUAGGCUCCUUAUCUUCGUCCAUACCACAAUCUGAUCGGAUAUGCUGAGUCAUGGACCGCAACCAAACACACUCUCUACUAGCUUCGUGAAUGACCAAGAUUUCCGCAUGGUUGGAUGAGGUAGCGGCAAUAGUCUGCUUCAUGGAUCUCCAAGAUAUGGCUGUUCCUCCAUGCGUGAAAACAUAACCGGUUUGAGACCGGGCACAGUGCGGAUCUGACAAAUAUCCUGCAUCAGCAAAACCAACUAGACCAUCCUUGUUAUGGUUAGAAUAAAAUAAUCCCAAGUCCUUAGUACCUUGAAGGUAUCUAAGGAUGUGCUUAAUACCGUUCCAGUGCCUUUGAGUUGGACACGAACUAAAGCGAGCUAAGAGGCUCACGGCAAAGCAGAUGUCUGGUCUAGUGUGACUAGCCAAGUACAUUAAUGCUCCUAUAGCACUGAGGUAUGGCAUUUCAGGACCGAGGAUUUCUUCAUCGUCCUUCUUUGGACCGAAUGGAUCACUAUCCAAUCCAAGGCUCCUCACAACCAUUGGGCUGGUUAAUGGGUGGGCUUGGUCCAUAUUGAAUCUCUUGAGUACCUUUUCAGUGUAUGCCAAUUGAUGCACAAGGAUUCCGUCAUUGACGUACUCAAGUUGUAAUCCCAAACAGAAUUUAGUUUUGCCUAGGUCUUUCAUUUCAAACUCUGCUUUUAAGCAUUCAACUGUUUGGGCGAUUUCACCAGAUGUUCCGAGGAUGUUCAAGUCAUCCACGUAUACUGCUAUGAUUACAAAUCCUUUGUUUUGAUAUUUUCUGAUGAAGAUGCAUGGACUGAUCGGAUCGUUUUCGUAGCCUUCUCUGAUGAGAUAUUCGCUUAACCGGUUAUACCACAUACGUCCGCUUUGUUUCAGUCCAUAUAAGGAUUUGUUCAGCCUAAUGCAGUGUUUAUCACGAGAUGCAUGCUUAUCUUUGAGCUCAAUACCAUCUGGUAAUCUCAUAUAGAUUUCACUGUCCAGUGGUCCAUAAAGAUAUGCGGUUACAACAUCCAUUAACCGCAAAUCUAAGUUUUCUCUUAUGGCCAGACUUAUGAGGAAUCGAAAUGUAGUUGCAUCCACCACUGGAUAAUAAGUCUCCUCAUAAUCGAUUCCGGGUCUCUGUGAGAAUCCUUGUGCUACAAGGCGUGCCUUGUAUCUAACGACUUCGCCGAGUUCGUUUCUUUUACGCACAAAGACCCAUUUGUUUCCCACUGGUUUAACAUCGAAUGGUGUCCUUAAGAUCGGACCAAACACAUUCCGUUUCUUUAAACUAUUCAACUCCACGUUUAUGGCUUCUUUCCAUUUCAGCCAAUCUGAUCUACGAGUGCACUCAAUUAUAGACGUGAGUUCUAGAUCCUCUUGCGUGUGCGCAAUCUCAAGUGCUACCUUGUAUGCAAAAGUUUCAUUGAUGUCAACAUCUUUUCUGUUCCAUAGAGAACCGAAUAUGAUAUAAUUGAUUGAGAUCUCAUUAUUAUCAAUCCCUUCAGAACCUUGAGUUUUGGCGUCCCAAACCUCUUGAGAUGGUUCGAUAGGGUAAGUAUCAGCUGAGGCUGUAUCCGUGUUCUCUUGAAUCCCGGUUUCAAUCAUUGCACCUUUCUUUGAUUUCCGGGGAUUCUUAUCUUUGGAACCUGGUGGUCUGCCACGUUUCUUACGUGCGUCAGACUCUGUAGCAACUUGACUUUUCCCUGAGGGGACAUCUAUUCGUACUGGUGCAUUACAAGCUGGUAUGUACAAUUUGGUAACUUUGUUCGGGUCAGCAAAGGAAUCUGGCAAUUGAUUAGCUAGCUUUUGUAAAUGUAUAAUUCUUUGGACCUCUGAAUCACAUUCUAGAGUCCGAGGAUCUUGCCAUUGUGUGGAUGUUUGAUUCCAUGAAAGUUCUUUUACCAGCUUGUCUGUCUCACCACCUAAUCUAGGAUAUACCGAUUCAUCAAAUCGGCAAUCUGCAUAUCUGGCUUUAAACAGAUCUCCUGUAGUUGGCUCGAGAUAUUUUAUGAUGGUGGGAGAAUCAAAACCAACAUAUAUUCCCAUCCUCCUUUGAGAUCCCAUUUUAGUCCUCUGUGGUGGUGCAAUGGGUACAUAGACUGAACACCCAAAUGUUUUAAUAUGGGAGACGUCUGGCUCAUGACCCGUUAGCAAUUGGGAUGGUGAAUAUUUGUGCUCACUAGAUGGUCGUAUGCGUAUUAGUUCAGCGGCAUGUAAGACUGCGUGUCCCCAAGCUGAGACCGGGAGUUGUGACUUCAUGAGUAAUGGUCUAGCAACCCAUUGAAUUCGUUUAAUGAAGGAUUCAGCUAAUCCAUUUUGUGUAUGGACAUGUGGAACGGGAUGUUCAACACUUACCCCCAUGGACAUACAAUAUUCAUUAAACGCUUGGGAAGUGAAUUCACCAGCAUUAUCAAGACGUAUAGUCUUUAAUGGGAAGUCUGGAAAAUGGGCUCGUAAUCUGAUGAUUUGGGCCAAUAACCUAGCAAAAGCCUGGUUCCUAGAAGAGAGCAGACAGACAUGCGACCAGCGGGUCGAUGCGUCAAUGAAGACCAUGAAAUAUCUGAAUGUCCCACAAGGUGGGUGAAUUGGUCCACAUAUGUCUCCUUGGAUUCUUUCCAGAAAGUUCAAGGUCUCUUUAGACACUUUGACUGGUGAAGGUCGGGUAAUCAGUUUCCCUUGUGAGCAAGUUGUGCACUUGAGGUGCUGAGGGAAAAUACCAUUUGGUUUAAGGCUGUGCCCUUUAGAAUUCUGGACUAAUUUAUGCAUCAUGUUCGCACCGGGAUGACCCAGGCGAUCAUGCCAAAUAGUGUAAUCUAAAAACCGUGUUUUGAUAGCAGCAUUAGCCUCAAUCAUACUGACUUUAGCAUGGUAAAUGCCAGUAGAUACGGCGGGUAUAGUUUCAAAAACUUGUUUAUGGCCAUUUAUCAUUUUAGUGAUAAUUAAAAACUCUUUGUUCCCUUCAUCCUGAGUUUCGAUAUGGAAACCAUUCAAUCUUAUGUCUUUGAAACUCAAUAGGUUUCUCUUAGAACUGGGUGAGUAUAAGGCAUCAGAGAUGUCUAGAUAUGUGCCAUUUGAUAACAACACAUUAGCUUGGCCAUGGCCCUCUAUUAGGCUCGAACUACCCGCUAUAGUGCUAAUGUUUGCGGUUUUGAUUACUAAAUUUAUGAAGUAAUUCUUGUCUUUUAGAAUGGUGUGGCUCGAUCCACUAUCCACAAUGAUAUCCAUAUUGUCUUGCAUAUCUUCAAGAAUUAUAAUUCAAUAACAUGCAAAAAUGAGAUGUAAAUAAAACAUUACUCCAUAAAUUAAAAUGUAAAAGCAAAAGGUCUUAAAAAUCCAAAGUAAAGACAAUAAAUCCCAAAAACAAAAGAUAAAGGUUUAAGGAGUAAUGAAAAACAAAUUCAGAUUUUUGAGAUCAAUCAAGGAGGUCGGAGAGCUCAUAAUCCAUGCCAUCAAUCUUAUCAUCCUUUGAGUCAUCUUCAUUGACUUGAUGAACCAGGUUAGCCUCAUGAUUAUCUUUCCCAUACUUCUGGUAGAGCUCAGCAAGAUAUUUGGGAGUACGGCAGUUCUUGAUCCAAUGAUUAGUCUAGAUGAACUGCCUCUUUGGGUCGGUUUGUUGAUACCACGACCCUUACCCCGACCAAAACUGAGGUUAGGUCAGUUAUCUUGGUUCGGUCUACCGCGUCCUCUGCCACGCAGUCCAUGUCCAUUUCCACGUCCACAUCCACGAUCUGAGGAUCUGUUACGUUGGACGAAGUUGGACUCUUUUCUGGUUCCUUCUGGCAAUGGGGCUGAUCCUGGAGGCCGCAUGGCACUGUUCCUCAACAGAAGCUGAUUGUUCUUCUCAGCAAGCAGUAAGCAAGAUAUCAAAUUCUCAUAGGUGCUAUGAUUCAUGGCACGGUAUUGUUGUUGGAGAACAACAUUGGGAGUGCCAAAAGUAGAGAAUGUUUUCUCUAGCAUAUCCUUAUCAGUGACCUCCUCGCCACAUAGUUUUAUGAGUGCAACUAUCCGAAAGAGUUCAGAAUUGAAUUCUUCGACGGAUUUGAAAUCUUCGAACCGUAGGUUCUUCCAGUCGAACUUGGCUUGGGGCAGUAUGACCGUUUUCUGAUGGUCAUAUCGCUUUUUCAGUGCCACCCAAAGUUCGAGUGGAUCCUCAAGAGUGAGGUAUUGUUGCUUGAGAGACUCAGCGAGGUGAUGGCGGAUAAUAAAUAUCGCUGAGUACCGUUCUGUUUGAGUCGCAGUGUUGGGAUCUUUGAUGCAUUCACCCAGACUUUUUGAGUUGAGGUAGAUCUUGGUGUCAAGGGCCCAUUUGAGGUAGUUAUCUCCGAAGACAGUGAGUGCCUCAUAUUCGACCUUCUGAAUGUUUGACAUCUGAAACAUAUAAUAAUUUAUGUUAAAUAAUCAAUAGUAUGAGACUAUGAUCAUUGGAAUAGGGGAUUUAAGGUAUUCUUGGGAAAACUUUCCAUUUCAGGAAACUUGCUAUUUUAGGAAACUUGCUAUAUAAGGGAACUCUAAAAUCGAACCUUAGGGUUUAUAACCUAGCCGGUUUACUAGGGUUUCCAAAUUUAGCUCUAAAAGAUAAACAUUGGUUUUUUUUUUUUUUUUUUUUUUUUUUUUUAAGGGUUUAGGGUUUAGGGUUUAGGCAAUCUAGAGAUUGAUUUUGGAAACUAAUUUGAAAUUAACCGAUUAAGCUUAAACCGAUCGGAUUGAUCGAUUAAACAACAAAACCGGUUAAAUUAGAUUUAAUUUUUGAAACCGGUUAUUAGGGUUAUUAAUCGGUUAAGGGAUUGAACUAAACGGAUUUGCUAGGGUUUAAUUUUUAUUAGGAAAAACUGAUCGGUUUAAACUUAAACCCUAUCGAUUUAGGAUUAGAGUUUAUCGGUUUAUAAACGGUUUAGGUGGAUCGAUUGGUUUAGAUUUUAAGGGGUCGAUCGGUUUUAGGAUUUAGGAGCUUUUUAGGGUUUUCAAGGAUCGGAUCUAAGAUAAAUAACCGAUCGGUUUAGGAUAUAAACCGAUCGAUCUCGGUUUAACGAUAGACAAACCAAAACGAUUUUAGAUCUAGGGUUUUGCAAAGAUUUAGGUUUCGGUUUGCAAGGAAUUUUAGUGUUUGGUUUAGAUGAUGCUAGGACCGAUCGGUAUAGGGUUUGAACAAAGCAUUAAGGUUUAGGUUUUAUAUGAUAAAGCCGAUUAGGAAAAAUAAAACCAAUUAGAGUUUUGACAAGAAGAAAGAGGAUCGGUUUGGUUAUAGUUUUAAAACGAAAAAGACGAUGAAGAAUCAUGAAAAGAACCGAUCCAUAUUAGGGUUUUCAAAAAAAAAAAACCAAAACUUUGAUUAGGAUCUAUAGUUUUAGAUAAUACCUUUUCGCCAAAUGGAUUUCUGACCGGCUUAUGAUCUGGGAGCUAAAGACCACAGAUAUCUACUGGAAACUCCUGAGAAGGAUGGCCAGAAGGGAGGACGAACAGCUGCUACAAUGGAGGAACCACCGCUUGGAAAGAAUCACCCGCUAAGGUGGGAUAGCGCCGAUUGUUUUGAGUCUUCAGGGCGCGUCUGGUGUCGGAUUGAGGAGCGGUUUUCACCACUAGAUUCCUCUCUUCCAGGGCUUCAAAAUGAUAUGUAGAUCGCCUUCUAACUCCUUGUAUUUUGAGAGAUAUGAUCGUUUGAAGUUGAGCUUCGUGCUGAUAAUGUAUUAAGGGAAAAACUCAGAUCUUAUUAUUUCCAUAAGCAGUGUAUAUAUACAUUACAUAACUAAUGCAUCAGAAACCCUAAUGGGCCAUGAGACAUUAACCUGAUGGUUAAUGGGCCGGUUACUAGAAGUCCAUUUGUUUAUAACAGUUUUUAAGUUUUUAUUUGAGAAAAGGGUAGUUUUAAGUUUUAAUUAAUCAGGGUAGGGACAUACUUUCAUAAUGCCAAACUUACCCUUCUCUCUGAGAGAGAGAGAGGCAGAGUAGUCUGUUCCUUAGAGAGAGACAAACGCAGAAAAUACUGUGGGUCCCAGGCGUAGUCUACAUUCGCGCGCGUACAGCCGGGAAGAGAGCACUUACGCGCAUGAUUGGGUCGUUUUUUGGGCCUGAUUUCGAAUUUUGGAAUGAAAUUCCCAAAAACCACCUUACUGGGCCUCGGUUAUGGGCCGGAAACUACCCAACUCAUUACACGCAAAACUACCCUUCCCAUUCUCUUUUUAAUUUUGGCGGAAAAAAUUGUGGUUAAUUAGAGAUAAUGGAGAUAAAUUGGUUAAAAUAAGAAACAAAGUACCUUAACCAAAUUAGAAACCCUAGUUUCCUUUUCCAGAAGAUGUUGAAAUUGAAGGGGAAAUUAUGCGAUGAUCAAGAGGACAACAACCACGGUUAGUUACUUAAUCCUAUUAUUGUAUACCCAUAGAUUUGUCAUUGUUAUUUUCGAAUUUUUUUCGGUCUGGUGUUCGCUAUUUUCCAGUAGUUUUUUAGAUAUGGUGUUCGCAAAUUGCAGUGGAUGCAUUCAUUCUUGUAAUGGCGGGAACGUGGAUAAGGUACUAUACAGGAGAAUGAGAUUUCAAAAUGGACAUAUCUCGUCGUGGAAGGUGCAUAAAUUGCAAAGAUGUGUCCGGACCAGAUGAUUUGAGAAAUCUGAUUGCGCAUGAGUUCGGAUUAGACCCGAGAGUUGUUUCGGUGGAGAUUUCCUACUGGUUUGAUGAUGUUCUAGCUGAGCUUAAUGGUGAUGGGAGUUGUCCAUGUGUAAUAGUUACUCCUCGAGAGUACAAAUUCUUCCUUUCGCUGCAUAAGUCUGACAAGUCUGUGAAUUUAUUUGUCACAUUCAAGGAGUCAGUAAAUGGUAAAAUGGUGAGAUUGAAACAGAAAGAAAGUCUUGAAGUUCAAAUAGCGAGGGAACGGCAAAAGUCCUUAGGGCCAACAAACUUCAUAGCCUCUUCUUCGGCAGAGUCUAGUCAACCCGAUGAUGAAGCAGAUGAUGAAGAUAUCGAUGAUUGUUUGCUGAUAGCACAUGCCGAGAAAGUAGAGGCAGAGGCCGCAAUGAACACCUCCAAAGGUGUACAACUUGAAGCUGUCUCUGUUAUACAUCCUCCAUUGGGAUUAAAAAUAUCCCAGGAAUCAGAGAAAGCAGCACUAACACCUCCGUUAAUGUAAAACCUGAUGUUCCAAGUCACGCUGUCUCUGUUGACCACCCUGAGUUGGAAUUAAAAAUGUCCCAGGAAUCAGACGAGGUGAGAGAUUCGGAAAAGAAGGAAGCUGAUGAUGUUGACGAUGACGCAUACGGCUCUGAUGAUGAUUAUGAUCCGGAUUAUGAUUUUGACUGGUGGAAUGAUUACGUACUAGCAGAUGGUAAGGGUUUCCAUUCUAAACCUGGAUUUGAUGAGGAUAAGGAUGACUCUGGUAGUUCAAGGGGUUGUGGAAAUACUCGCGGAAGUGAGCCGAGUGAUUCAAACCAUAUGGACAACUCCAUUGUCUUAACGGAGAGUCCUAUUCAUUUUCCUGGAAGAAAGAGGACUGUAUGUGAGAAUGUUCUGGCUCCCCAUGGAGAUGAUGAUGAUUUUGUGCAGACUCCGACAGGUGAUGUCAGUUGGGGGCGUCAGAAUGGCGGUGCAGAGCUGAAAAAAGCGAUUAAACGUACAGAACUAUAUGGAUUUCCGGAUGUGGCACCAGUCUCUGAUGAAAUGGGAGGGGAUUUCGAUGAACUUGAUUUGUCAAAUGAAGAUGGAGAGAUAUGGGUUGGGAAAAAGUUCAGGAACAAGGAACACUUUAAAAUCACGUUGGCCAUCAAUGCGCUUAAGAAUGUAGUGGCGUUCGAAUUCAAAAAUCAUGCGAAGAAGUACACAGUCGCCGAAUGUCCAUCAAAGAUAUGUGAUUGGAGAGUGUUGGGGUGUCAAGUUGGCGAGUCUGCAUUGUAUGUGGUGAGGAAGGCAUGUUUGAAGCAUACAUGCUACCCGGAUACAAGAAAGAAAUUUUCUAAACAUGCUACUUCUAAAGUCAUGGCGGCCCUGCUGAAGUCUAAGUAUGAGAAUGCAAUAGUUAGGCCACGUGCGAGUCAGCUACCUGCGAUUUUUCUCUCCGAAUAUAAUAUUACAGCCUCGUACUGGAAAUGCUGGAAAGCUAAGGAGCUGGCUAUAUACUCUGCUCAUGGAACAGAGGAGACUUCUUUCAAAUUAUUACCGAUUUACCUCCAUGUGCUCAAGUAUGCUAACCCCGGCACCAUAACGCAUUUGUCAACCGAGAGCGAGAGAGUGAAAAAGAUGGAAAAUGUAUUACCAGGUUUAAGUCCGUAUUUAUGGCAUUGGCUGCGUGUAUAUCUGGAUGGAAACAUUUGAAACAAGUAGUUGUUGUUGAUGGGACUCACCUGACUGGUAAGUAUAAGGGUUGUCUAUUAACGGCCAGUGGACAAGAUUCUAAUUACCAGGUUUUUCCAAUAGCGUUCGCCAUUGUCGAUGCAGAGUCUGACAAGACAUGGAGGUGGUUCUUUGAGAAGUUGGUAGAAAUUAUUCCAGAUUCCUCUGAUCUUACUAUUAUCUCGGAUAGGCACGGUGGAAUUGCCAAAGCUAAAAAGAAAUGGUAUCUACAGUCACACCACGGUGCAUGUCUUGUCCAUAUCCAGAGAAAUGUUCACGGUAAAUACAAAGGUUCCGGUCAGAAAGGGUUGGUCGGAAAGGCUGGAGAAGCGUUCACAGUUUCUAAUUUCAAGAAACUAUACGCAAGGCUGAAGGAUGUUGAUUAUCGUUGUUGGGAGUACAUGGAAAAAAUCCCUCUUGCGAUGUGGACUAGAUCACACUUUUCUGGUCAGAGGUAUAAUAUGACCUCCAGUAACAUUGCAGAGUCUCUGAACAAUGCACUAUUCGCUGCAAGAGACAGUCCAAUCGUUGUAAUGCUAGAAUUUAUCAGGCGAAUGUUAAGUAGGUGGCUUGAAUGCAGAAGAGAGAAAAUUCAAAAGAUGGAUGGUGACAUUACAUAAGAAGUUGACAAGUUAAUGAACCUGCAGCAGCAAAAAUCUGCUGCACUAUCGGUUCAAGGCAUUUCUUUGUGGGAGGUUGAAGUGAGUUCUGAGUUCGGUGUACAGAGGCUUGUUGAUCUCCUAAACAAAACAUGCUCAUGUCUAGAGUUUCAGACAUUGAAAUAGCCUUGCCGACAUGCAAUGGCCGCGGCUAGGCUUCGGCAAGUGGAGUACAGCAGUUUGGUUGAUCCAAUUCUUAAGAAUUCAAUUUGGAGUGCAACAGUUUGUGGCAAAAUCCUACCAGUGCCCGACCCUGACGACAUUCGUAUCCCAGCAGAGGUGCGUGACCUUAAUAUUAUGCCACCUAAGUCAAAACGUCCAUCAGGAAGGCCUACGACGAAGAGAAAACUAUCAGCAGGAGAGUAUCCUCAGGUUAGUGUACACUAAACAAUUAUUUUUUUUCCCAGUCAUACUGAUUACUGAUUACUGAUUACUGAUAUAUGCUGUUGCAGGUUGCAAAAAAAAAGAAGCCAAACAAAUGCUCGAGAUGUGGAAAUGCCGGCCAUAACCGGGCAAAAUGCAAGGAACCAUUGGGUUGACCGGGUGUGGCUUUUGUGUGUCUUUUGUUGUGUGUAGGAAAGAGCGAGCCACAUUGUUUUUUGUGUGUCUCUUGUUGUUUUUUUGUGCGGAUCUCGCUUUGUUUUUUGGGUUUGUUUCUAGCGUACACUAUGUUUCCCUAUAUUUAAACUUGGAAAGGGAAACUUAUAUUUGUUAUGAAAUUUAUUAUGAAAUUUAUAUUUGUUAUAUUUGUUAUGUUAUAUUUGUUAUGAAAUAUGUUAUAUUUGUUAUGAAAUUUAUGAUGUUUACUGGACAGGGUAUACACAGUUUGUGUACACCCUUGACGGUGGACACAGUUUGUGUACACUGUGAUCUUGCUUUGUUUUUCGGGUUUGUUUCUAGCGUACACUAUGUUUCCCUAUAUUUAAACUUGGAAAUGCAUGAACUAUGUUAUAUUUGUUAUGAAAUUUAUGAUGUUUAAUGGACAGGGUGUACACAGUUUGUGUACACCUGUGACGGUAGACACAGUUUUUGUACACUGUGAUGGUGGACAACAUCAAUCAGUUUACAUUAUAUGGUGUAUUCGCAUUAUGGCUUAUGUAUAAGUUUACAUUUAUAUGGUGACACAUAAAUUUAGGUGUAUGCACGUUAUGGGUUUAGUGGACAGGGUGUACACAGUUUGUGUACACCUGUGACGGUGGACACAGUUUGUGUACACUGUGAUGGUGGACAACAUCAAUCAGUUUACAUCAUAUGGUGUAUUCGCAUUAUGGCUUAUGUAUAAGUUUACAUUUAUAUGGUGACGCAUAUAAAUUUAGGUGUAUGCACGUUAUGGGUUAUGUUUAGGGUUUAGGGUUUAGGGCUUAGGGUUUACGAUGUAGGGUUUAGGGUUUAUCUUAUUAAGGAAAUCAAAAUAAUUAUGAAAGACAUGGUUCUGGAUCAAAAUAAUUAUCAAAGACAUGGUUCUAUAGCAGAGAAAGAAAACAUUAUCUAGAAAACGGACAAUGAUCGUGUCUUUGAAUUGAAAUUGUAGGACAGGACAGCACGAAUAAACGGUUUUUUCAAAAAUCAAGUCAUGACGUUUUUGAAAAUCGCAAUAAUGAAAACAGUGUAUGAGGAAUAAACACGACACAAAAAAAAAUAAAAUUGGAAACGACAAAGACUAAUUAAGUACCUUUUUUGAAACCCGUUGCACCGUUUGACCGACUCGUUUCCCUUCUUUACUUUAUAAUGUUUUUCCUGUCGUCCUCUAUAAAAACUGUCCCCUGCCUUCUUCAGUGAAACAAGUUUCCGGAGACAGAAAAAGUUAAUUACAGCAAAAGUUAAUUACACAGAAAAUUAAUAGCUUCUAAAAAUGUACUCUGCCAAAGUGAUCACAUUGCAAUUGAAGGAAGUGGAGAGGAAAAACAGUUCAUGUUUCAGUACAGGUAUUUGAUGGUUCAUUUGAAAAAUAGGGGUUUAGUUUAGUUUUAGUAUUUGAGGAUCGGUCUUUUACAUCGUCUACCUAAUUAGUGUUUUGCCGAUUUCAUUAGGACCUGUGAGUGAGGACUUGUAUCACUGGGAAGCUAUCAUAACGGGCCCUAAAGGUUCACCCUAUGAGAAUGGUGUUUUCAAACUAGACAUUCACUUUCCGCUUGACUACCCUUUCGCGCCACCUAGGGUAAGGAAUGAAGCAUAUCAUUGCUUUUUCAAAUUGCUGUAUUUUUAGAGUUUUGGAUUUAGUCAAUAAAGAUUUCAAUUACUAAUAACACUGAUUUUUUUCAGGUGAUGUUCAAAACAAAAGUGUAUCACCCAAACGUUAAUACUUAUGGGAACAUUUUUCUGAAGAUGUUGAACCCAACUCACUUCAGGACCAACAACAGCAUCAAUGAUGUAUUUUUACUCAUGAAAGAAAUAAAUCGUUAUUGUGUUUUGCUUAAUAAUCUUAAUUCCAUUUAAAUUAGGGCUUAACUGUGUUUACAUGUAUAUGUAAACAGGUACUGACGGAAAUACACCAAAUGUUAACUGCCCCCCAAAUAGGGGAAGGACACUUUUUUGUUGAAGAAAUUGCUAGGAUUUACGUGGAAGACAGGGCUGCUUUUGAAACCACUGCACUUGCGUGGAAGGUGGAGCACGCCGGAGGAGCAUAAACUCCUAAAUUGUACUAUUAAUUUUGUUUGUUGAAUUGUGUUUUUUCUUUUGCAAAAAAAUAAGACCACUAUUUUGUUUGCGUGUUUUUCUUGAGAAGUUUAUGACUUAAUUUUAACUUUUUUACAUCAAUUUAUGCUUUUUAUGUUUAGGAUUUGAUAAAUUGUCCAAGGAUUUCAUGAAACAGAAGUCAUCGAAUAUUUAUUCAAAGAUUGUUCAUUACAUACUAAAAAGGAAAUAUAUGUGUACACUUCAUAUAGUCUACACAUACUCGUGUACACUUCAGAAGGUGUACACCAUAAACUUAUUUUUAAAGCAUUUCGCAGAUACGUCUAGCACACCAAUAUAUGAAGCAACCAUUGCAAAGUACUCGGAUCUCAGGUUCGAAAUGAUCAAAUGCACAAUCAGGCAGCUUGAUGACGUCGUCGUUUGGAUAUGAAAAUGAGUUUGAGUACGUAUCCAUGUAUGCAGUUCCGUAAUAUGAAAUCUCAAGAAUUAACUCCUCACCUAAUUGUCGCACGCACUCUGACUGUAGACUUCCGUGAUGCGUUGCCAACAGUUGCAAUGUUUGGCUUGCGGAACAAGGGUCACCCAAAAAAACGCUGAACAUGGCCGACGCCAGGGUCGAGAGAGCGUCGGUGGGAGCAUUUGGUUCCAGCAUGGUCCUACUUGCAAUGAGAUCUGCGCCUAUGGUUGCAAGUCUCAGGGCUUCCCAGUAUAUUGCCUCAGAGUUUCCACUGGCCAAACAUUUCAGAAAGAAUGGGCGUCUUUCCUUUCCAGGGCAUAUGUCGCUAGGGACACAGCAAAGGGCAUAAAUGUUGGAAGAUUUGAGGACAUCGUCGGUGAAAACAAGCCGGAGGGUGCGCUUUCCAGCGCGCACAAAUGGUCCAAGUCGCCAAAAUGCUUCACUGCCGAGCCUCUUGAGGAUUUCGAUAAGAAUUUCAUCAGGCAAGUCUGGGAGCGACAUGUUGGGUUUAGGGUUUGUUAUGUUUGGUUUAGGGUUUGUUUUCGCUGGAAAGGAGGCAAGUUUUGUUAAGACAAAGCAAAAUCAUCAUAUAUGGACUUCACUGGUGUGUGGUUGGGGGGUGGAGAAUUUAUUAUACGGUUGAAAAUAAUAUAAUAGUGUUCUCUCUUUUAGUAAAUAUUUCACCUAACCGUUUUGUACCCCCCCAUUUUUUAGAAUAAUGGUCAGUUCGCUUUUAUUAAAAUGCCUGAAACUAGUUAUAUUUAUAAUGUAGUGCGACGUGUUGGGGUCAAUUUAGCAGUUAUUGAAGUGGCUCUUAUCUUUAUACCAACCACGAAUUAGGACAUUUAUAUAUCUAUCCACCUUGUCUACAAAUAUAGCGAAUCAAAUUUAUUUUUCACCAAAGUUAAACAACAAUGCACUACUUAGACGAUGAUGUUUUAGGGUUAAUAGUAAAGAAACUAGCUGAGGAUGAUUCCUAUCAUCUUGGCCCCUUUAUUCGCGCAGGAAAACGUGGAAGAGCCAUCGCGUUCACCGAAGACGUGUUACGGUCUGCAGACAUCUCUCGAUUGGUUGACUCACCGACUGACGUAUCCCCUAACACCCCUUACCGCCCAUUCUUUGAGCGUUGUCUUGGAGCCUGUAAUCCACGAGCUAUUUAUUUUGAAGCCAUUAGAGUUGCCGUGAGUGAGCAAAGAUUGUAUUCAGCGAUUACAAUGCUUAACCGACUUGUCCCAUGUGAUAAACAUGCUACUUUCGCAUGUGCCAUGUUUGAAGUUUGCGUCGGUCAUCCACGAAGGGCUAAAAAACUCCUCACAUAUGUAUUCACUCUACACGUCCCUUAUGUGGCUAAUGAAAUGAAGCUGUUAGCGCAUGACGUUAUACGUCACGUAUGGGAGCUCGCUCGGGGGCCGUUUCAAGAUCCGUGGGGUAGCCUUUGGUCCUUCCCCAUCACUCUACAAGAAGAACCUAUAUCGGAGUGUGUAGAUGACCAUUACGAUGGCACAAAUACACCAGACUGCGAGUAUUGCAUUCUACAAUGCACGGCUCUGCGCAUAAGAUAUUUACUUUAGUUUAGUUAUUUUAAUUGCAAGUAAUUGUUUAAUUUUUGUAAUAAAUUUAAGGUAGAAAGUAAGUGAACAUCACUUCACAUACUUAUUGUAACAAGUAGCUACUAAGAACUUAACUAGUUGUAACAAUGUAAUUACUAGUUUAAUUCUUGUAGUUGGUAAACAUCACUUCACAAACUUACUGUAAUAUUACUGCUGUUCAACUACACACUAAACCCUGCAACUACUAAUUGUCUUACCAUUAACUAUUUCUCAACAACAAUUAUCCAUCGAAUUCAAUAUAUAGUUUCAUAAAAUUGCGAAGAAAGUUCACCCUACACAAACCUUAUAACCUUCCCAAAAAAUGCCAGAUUUACCAGAUCAUAUUUUCGAAAUCAUUGUCAAGAAAGUUGCUGAGUCUGACUGCAUCUACCUUGGACUGAUUAUUCUGGCAGAGACCCGUGGUAGAGACAUUGUGUUUAGCGCAGAAGUACUCAGAUCGGCAUACCUAUGGACAUUGCAUGACACACCAUCUCGGAUAUACCUUGGUGGAGUAUAUCGGCCUUUAUUCCUGCGCUGCUUAGCGUCGAGAAAUCCACAGGACAUAUUGGUCGAAGCGAUAAGGUUCGUGUCAACAGAGAAGAAGAUCUAUACCGCCAUCAGGAUGCUAAAUAAGCUCGUUCCAUCAGACGUCUAUGGCACUUACAGCUGUGCCAUUUUGCAAAUGUGCGUGGGUCGCCCUAACAGAGGGAAAAAACUUCUAAAGAUGGUUUUCAGGUACCACUAUCCUCAUGAUUCUCGUGAAAUUCGUGAAGUCGCCGAAGAUAUAGUAUCCUUAUUCUGGUCAUUUUGCCCACGUAAUAAACAUACAUACAAAAAAAAACCCUAGUCUCAUUCAUGAAGACACCUCUGCGUCGUGCGAAGUGUAUCACGAGAAUUUGCAUUAUAUUGUUAAAUGUGAAAAAUGUUACCUUAGAUGUUCGGCAGAACGCAUAGCAAAAAUGCUUUAGUAUCGAUGUGCUAUGGUCGCAUGUCGCUUGUUUUUAAAAUUCUAAUACUUCAAUAUAUUUUCCCAUUGUUGUGGUUAUUUCAAAAAUAAAUAUGAAGUUUAAAUACAGCCUUAUGUCUAACAGCCUUAUGUCCAAAAAGGGUUUACAAUCCCGUAUACCAAUGUUGGUGUACGUUUACGAUCCUGUAUACCAAUGUUGGUGUACGUUUACGAUCCCGUAUUCAUCAUUCUUUAAAAAUGUGUAAUGUUAUUUUAUUUUCAACCAGUUUUAUGUUUCCAAUCUAUAUCUGAUCCCGUUUACGUAAGUAGGUGUACGUCUAUAGGUAUACGGUAUUAGGUAUAUGUAAGUCGGUGUACGACUACAGGUAUACGUAAGUAGGUGUACGUCUACAUGUCUAUAGGUAUACAGUAAUAGGUGUACAUAAAUAAUUACAGUGAAUAGGUGUACAUAAUUAAUUGCUGUCCUAGAUGAAAUGAUAUCCUGGCAACUUUCAUUUUGAUUUUGGGAAAGGCUAAAUUCUCCAUAUAUAAAAAAAUUUUAAACAGCUUUAUGAUUAAUUACUACAUUUACGAACAUAAGUACUAUAAAUAUCAUAAAAUCAACUACUAAUUCUCCGUCGAUUAUGUUUAUACAAAAGUAAGAGUUGCAACUAAAAAACGAAAGUAAACAUGCAAUUUCAAAAACAUCAGUUGUAGUUCGGAACACUAAGACAACAUAAAUAAUUAAAGAGACACGAAUGCAACAAAAUACAAAGAUUACGGCUUUUACCAAUCGAGCAUGAACGGCCAGCUUGGAACGACGUUCCUAAUGAAGCGGAAGAACCUUUGGGUCUCUUGGGCCCAGAAACAGGUUGUGCACUUUGGCUGCUUAAAAUCUUCUGCAAACCACUGGAGCCAGUAAUUGAUAACCCCGCACUGACAGGUGUACAGCGCAAGGAAUCUCGGAUGAAAGGCAGCCGCUUUCUCAGUGAAAUCCACUGGAAAAUCGAAAUUCCAUCCGUGUGGAACGUCGGCCAGCAACAACCGGCUCAUCCUCCUCCGAUUUUGCACCGUGAGCCUGCCCAAAUACUCCUCUGCACGGACGAAGUCUUCCGGCACAGCUCUGAGCCACAUCCCGUACACAAAAAGGGCUCGGUCGUAGCCUCCCUCCGCAGCAGCCCUUAUCAAUUCCACGCCUUCACCAUCGUGGAAGAAAAAGUAGGCUUGCAUCCCACUUUGGGAAAUAACCCCUGGAUUACCCGCGUCAUAGAAUCUCCUCAUCAUCGUUGGAUAAUGUGGAACCGCCGCUUGUUCAUGCAUAAUUUCGGCGGGAUCAAUCGCUCGAUAGAAACCCCUGCUUGUGCCGAUACGGUUGAAACGAGAACAAACAGCACGGAGGCGGGCUAUUUCCCUUAUAGUUGGGUUUGUAGCGGCCAAAAUUUGUUCCAGCAAUUCAUCAGGGAGUGAGAGAAGAUAGGAAAAAUCACCAUCACCACCUCUGUUUCUCCUUGGAACCAUCGUUUAUUUCGAUGAAAAGAGAAAAGAUAAGAAAAUGGAUUGAGGAAGAGGAGAAAGGAUUGAAAAUGGAAUGAAAGAGAAAGUUAUGAUGGUUCUAAGUAGGCAUUUACGGUGAAGGGAUUGAAUUUAAAGAGGUAGUGCGGUUUUAAUAGAGCCGAAUAGCUGUCUUUGAAGAGAGACGUUGAAAAGAGACGAAAAUGUGUCUUUUCGUUUACCGGCAAAAUUAAAUUACCACAGUAAAUACAGAGAAUUACCAAAUCAAAACAAAUUUCACCAUUAAACUUUUUUGAUGAAUGAUUUAAUUUAAUUUUUAAUAUACCACAAUACAUUUAUGAUUUCUGCGACAAUACUAUUACUAUUUAUGAUAUUAUCAAAAUUUCAUUAACAACCCAGCCCUUUUUUUAAUUGUUGGAAACUAUAUUUCUUGUCAUCAUUACAGAAGUUUUCUCAACAUCACGUUAACCGAGAUAUAGAGUACAGAUUGAGUCCACAUAGACGAAAUCAUGAUUUUUUAAAAAAAUAUGCGUUCAGAAAUAGGUAAGGUGAGACUUUAAAUAAAUAAUGUCGUUUGUAUAUCCAUCUUCUCCGAAAAUUCCCACAAAAGAGAUAAUGUCGUUUGUAUACUCAAAAUAUAUAAUAUGUGAUAAAUGUAACAUUCAGGUGUACAAAUUUAGGUGUACAUAUUGAGUCCAGAUUGAGGUGUUCAUUUUUUUUUCUUGUUAUUAGGCGUACACAGAGAGGUAAACUGAGACUUUAAAGAUAUAAGAGAAUGCUUCUCGAAAAACUGCCACUAACACCCACCGAAAUUAAUUAAAGUCAACACAAUUAAAGUAUACAUAGAUAGAAAGCAAAAAAAAGUACACCUACAUACAUACAUACAUAGUAGGCCUAAAUAAAAGAUUAAAUCAUAAAGUACGAAAUAUGGAAUCUAAUCGAUUACAUAAACUAAAAAAAAAUAUUCGCGGAUGCUAAUCAAUUCGAUGAAUUCUGAAAUAACAGCAACGCCGAGGUGUACACAACGCAGGUGUACACACCGAGGUGUACACACCGAGGUGUACACACCGAGGUGUACACACCGAAACUGGUUGACUUUCACCAAUUAGUCACCAUUUUUCCAUUGACGGCCUAGACCACACUGCAUACCAAACAAAUACGAAGAACUUUUGCGUUUCCUGUGCCCAGAAACACGACGUGCACAUGCUUGGCCCCUUUAACAAUUCGUCAUGCCAAUCAAGUUGAGCGUUGGCAACACCACAGCGACAAGACCAAAGUGUGGCAAACUGAGCAUUAGUCUCAAAUCUCCUCUUCGAGAACUCUUCAGGCAAAUUAUUCACAUAACCACGCUCACCUCCACCAAUAAUUUUCCGAAUUAUUCUCCUCAUUGCCCCGCUGCCUAGUUUUGAAAGAUACUCUAAACCCACGGGGUCUUCGACCACUACUUUCAUGUACAUGCCAUACAUGUAAAUACAUGUUUCGUAUCCCAUAUCUGCAGAUUCCUUGAUGAGUUUUAAGCCACAUUUGUCUCCACGGCAGAAGUAGUCUUGCAUCCCCUUCAUGAACAGCAAACCUGGAUUGCGUGCGUUAUACAUCCUCCUCAACAAGUUGGGAAAUUCCCAAAAUGCGAUAAAAGGCAUAUCGAAAUCUUCGGGAAUAGGUAUCUCCAAUUCCACGGGAUCAACCGAUGCUAGAAAAUUUUUGGUUAAAGUGCAGGCCUGGAACCGUUUGCAAACUUGCUACAGUGUGAAAAUUUGUUGGACGGAGUUAUAACUGUAUGCGAGAACCUUCUCCAAUAGUUCGUCGGGAAGCACCAUCAGAGGGGAUUGACAAUCACGGAUAUCCGCAUCACAUCGCCCUCUCUUUGGUGCCAUAGUUAAUUUGUGAGGUUGAAUUGUGAUGAAAACGGUUGUUUAUGAAGAUGGAAUAACUGCGGUUUAGGAUUUGUGAGGAUAACAGUUGUUUAUGUUGCAUAUAUAUAAUAAUAAAAAAAUCCCACUAAAUGAGCGUAUACGUUAAAUGCGGUUACCGUUAAGAUUGUAAAUGAGUUUGUAAAAUUAGUGGAUAAAACAAAAAUUUCCUUGUUGUACACCCAUUUGAAAAUGGAUAUUGGUGUACAGAUACAUAUUAAGCCGGGAACAAAGUAUUCACACACCAAUUAAUAAAUACUAAAAUAAAGUAAAUUAUAAAAAAAAAAUUUCUUGAUGUACUCCCAUUUGAUGCAUAUUGGUGUACAACUCAACGCAUAUUGGUGUACGGAUACGAAAUUAUUCCAGGAACUACGAAUUGACACACCAAUUAAUAGAUAGUAAAAUAAACAAAAUUAUAAGCAUAUAAAUUAUGAAAUAAACCCACAUCCUAAACAUUAUCAAACUUAUAAUCCAACAAAUAAAACUUUCAUAAAUUGUCAAGUUCAACAUUAAACUUCACCAUUCGUCCUAAGCGUUGGCAACAGCCGGAUUCCCGACAAACUCUUCGUAUGAGUCCAUGGCGUAUUUCUCCCUUAACCUGUCAACGUCAUCGUCCGUUAUCAAACCCAUAUCCUCCACUCCAAGCCCUGCAGCAUGCAUCUCUAAGAAUUUAGCCGCACAUGGCCCACAGUCACCGGAUCUUUUGUUCUGAUAUCCCCCCAAACGACUCCAUGUGUAAGGGGUGGUGCGUAGGCCUUCCGUUAAUUUGCUAUCCAAAUAACGCUUCAAUAUAAAAGGCAUACUUUGACACACGGGCGCCAUAUACUGCUCCACAGCCGCUUCAUCAUUAUGACUGAUGAAUGAGUCCAAAAUCUUUAUGUUUCCCAUUUUACAGUCAAUUACAAGGCCCACCCAAUGCUCAGACCCCCAGUUCAUCGGGACGUAUACAACGUCCACAAACCGUAGAAACAUUUGCCUCUGCCGCUGAUUAGCUCACUUUGCAGGUUUUCCCAAUACAAUGCCCUGAAUGGUUUUCCUCCCAGUAGUUGCCGAUGAUGGAUAUGAACAAGGUGUCUACAAAUGCUACCCUGUCUUUCAAGUAUAUUUCACCUCUACGUCUCCAAAGCAUGGCUAUUAUGACUUGCAUGUGCUGACGAAUAACAAAACAUAAAUAACAUAUAUUACAGAUAAUUAAAGAUUGAGUAAGUACUAACUAUAUACUUACCAUCGUGUUAACCCACUCAGUAGGCUUCGCAAUUUGUAGGAAGAAUUGAUUGUUGACAGUAUGACGAGUGACAAUGCAAAAGUCGCUGUAAUGAGAUCAAUUAAUAAUUGAUAACAAUGAAAGUUUAAGGAUAAAUUGCUUUCAAUACGAUAUAACUUACAUGUUUCUUUCACGCGAUAAUAACUCCUGGAAUGCCUUGAAGUGGUCUUGUUCCACUGUUUCGAGUGGUUUGUACGCAGCUUUCGAUCUGGAUACAAAUAGAGCUUUCACCUUUGAAUCUGCGGUGUAAAUAUCUCGAAUCUUGUCCGACCGUACGCGUGCGCGUUUUCCUCUACCUCUUCCGCCUCUUCCUGUUCCUCUACCUCUUUCUCCUCUUCCUGUUCCUCCACUUUUUCUCUUUACAUCAGACGAUCCCUCAACUUCUUAUGGGGGUUUUGGAGUACAAGGGGUCUUUCUGCGAAGCAUCACUUGCAUCCUCAGGCGCAGUAUGGUAAUCUUUCCCCGCAUUUGAGUCGUCCUCAUUAGCCACAGCCUACACACCACCGUAACAAUAGAGCGUAUAACAUAUCAAUCGUAUACCUAGCGUAUACCUAAACACUACUGUAUACACAUGCAUAUCAUAUGAACAACUUUAAUGUCUGACCUGUGCAUCCUACACAUCUGUCUGCGCUUCAUUUUUCUUAUAUGCGUAGCUCAAUGGGUGAGGAGUCUGAGGUUUGUAGACUACUAAGGUGCCUGACACCAAAUUUGUUCUACCACCAUCCACCUGAAUAAGUCAUAAAAAACAUAGCACAAUACACACACGUUAUGAAACUUAAUAGAGUCAGCUGCUGACUAAACAAUUAGCUCACCUCGUUGAGGCCAGAAGGUGGAUCUUCAUUCGGAUUGACAAAGUAAGAAGGUGGACGAGUUGUUCCUGAAUUGGCUUGUUCAGGUUCAGGGGUCUUCGUCGGAGCUUCUGGAGUCUUCAAGUACGCAUGGUCCCUGGGAGAAUAAUGGUCGCCGCCGUAGUAAAUAGAGGUCCCUUCUUCAUCAUCUCUUUCUUUCUCGUGUACACCAUCUUCGGGGUGUACACCAUCUUCGGGGUGUACACCAUCAUCAUGGCGUACACUAGACUGUGCACCAUCAUAACCUCCUUCUUCACCUCCAUCUUCGGCUUCGUCUUCAUCCGGUUUUUGACCAUCUUUUUUUGGAUUCUGUCCUUCGUCAUCCUGUUCCCCAUCUUCUUUUGACUGGUGUACAUCGUCAUCUUCUUCGUCCUGUUGGUAUACGCCCAAUCUCUUGUCCAACUUUGUCUUAAUCUUACGAAGGAGCAAAUUAUUCUGACUUACUAUCCAUCUUUUAAGAUCUUUAAUUUGUCCACUUUCAGGGGUUUCAUCUUCCGAUAUAUUAGAAGAGUUCUUGCCCCUGCCUCUCUUCCUCUGCAUCUGAUGUUUUUCAGUUUGAUGAGUUUUCAGUUUCUUCUUCGGUCGGGUGGAUGGCUCAGGUUCCUGUUCAUUGGUAACCUCGUCCUCUGCAUCACUAAUAUCCACGAUAGGUGUCGGUGCCACUGCAAAAUCCGAAGGUGUGAUUUUGUACCCCUCGGCCAUGAGUUCCUGCAUGAAUGCAACUUCGGCAUCCUCUACCUCAUCUCCCCAACGCAAUUCAUUCUGUUGGUCAUUGUCACCAUCAUCCACUACCAUCUGUUUGACAGACAACUAAGACAAAAAAAAAACAAUUGCAAAAUUACCAACCAAAAUGACAGAGCACUUAUCUUUUAAGACAAGUACUACAAAAUAAGACUACAAAUAGUACUAAAUAUAAUACUACAAGAAAUUUACCAGAGGGUCGGAUUCCACGGCAAGUAUGUCUCAAGAUGCAAUAGUGUAAUAACGUUUUGACAGCCUUCGGGAUCUUCAACGAAUGUCUUCAAGUUAUCAGGUUGAGGAAUUUUGGAAACCAACAUUGGUAUAGAUUGGAGGGCCAUGAGUUGUAGUGAUAGAGGGAAUCCAUAGCAUGCACUGGUUUUCUGUUUAAGUUGACGGUGCAAUCGUGUUACAGGAUUCUCCCUUUUCUCGGCAUCCGUGAUUGCCUUUGAAGCUUGAAAACGAGAUACUGUUUUGUUAAAGGAUACCCUCCCCCAUGGAUACAGCAUGAACCUAUCCAAGUCAGUCAACAUCUCAACGUAUUUGUCGGUGAGGGCCAGAUUUUUGCUAUUGCAAAACAGAACACCGUCGACAAGAACGAUUAGGGCCAAUGGAAGCCGUUUCCAUCGGGGUAGAUCCAGGUUCUUUAGCAUUCAAGCACAUCAAACACGUUCAUAGCCUUCGCUCUUCCGAACAGGUCUUUCCAGAUUCCUGUCUUUCCGACAUCUUCUUCUUCUUCUGUGCUAUCAGGUUCGGGAUUGCAAUUCAAUCCAGUGAUUUCCUUAAACUCCCGUAUCGAAUAUCUCAGAGGCUGUCCACCAAAGAGGAACCAAAUCUCGUGUUUCUUCGUGGUCACAAGUUGUCGUGAUAGAAGGGCAUGGACUAGUUUGGCGCUGUUGCAACAUCUUGCAACAGGUAGAUGGAAUAACUUCCCAAACUGGGAAUGAAGUAGCUUCUCAAGAUCAUCAGUACCCUUUAACGCCUCGACAAGGAGGCCAAUGACAUUGGCCUUUGAAUAUAUGUUCAACCGAGCACCAACGGGGUAGCAACUAUCGCCGAGGACCCUUUUUGGUAGUUUUUCCGAAAUAUUGUUUGAAGAUUCUCCAUCUUCCAUGCCUGUAUUCGAAGGUUCUCCGUCUUCCAUUCCUGUAUUUGAACCAAAACAACAAUUCCGAAAUGCAGGAAAGAUAUAAUAGUCUGGAUAAACAGUUAAAUGCAAACCAGGGGAAAAGUUUGAGGGAAAGGAGUUCGAAGGAGUUCGAAAGAGAGAACAGAGAUCUGGAAAAACUACCCUAUUCGUAUGCUCUCCUAUAUAAACUUCUGUAACUGUUUCUAGAUGAUAUAAGAGUAAUCCAACCGUUUGAAUUCAAUAUAUAGACAUAAGUACUAGAGUUCAUAACCGCUAAUAAAUAUAUCAGGCCAGUCAGGCGCCCCGUUUCAAUCUUAAUUUGAGUUACAAACCGCCAGUACAGUUAAGACAAGGUCGAAGUUCAUAAAUGUAACUUACUUUUAGAAUUCUGAGCAGGUCAUUCUAGAAGAAGAGGAGCGAAUUGUACUUUGGAUCUACACCGCCGGCGUGGAUUGAGACGACUCGCGUGAAUGGGAUGUUCAACCCGGUCACUCCAUCGCCGUGGCAUGGGCGGUAUGGGCGAGUGGUCCGUCGGAGCUGUCUUCGAGUUACUACGGAGCACUCGCCUCGACACCGGAGGCACGGUGUUGUUGCGCCUUAACGAUUUUUUUACUUUCCGCGCCAUUACAACGGUCAAUCGGAUGACUAAUCGGAGAUGGAUUGCCGGAGAUGCUAGAUGGACUACGUCCAGAUGUGGAUCCCAAAUUUAAUUUUUCAUUUAAAUAUUGGGGUGUCGAUAAAUUAUUCAUUUGGUUUUACUUCGGUUUAUGAUAUUGGACUUCGAUUUAUAAUUUUGUGUAAUCGGUUUACCAAAUCGGAUUUAAUCAAAAAAUUUUAGUUAUUUUACUUCGAUAAUGGCAAUUUGAAAAUAAAAAUUGCCUUAGGGCCCUUGUGGGAAGACAAACAGUAAAAACAGCCCUAUCCUUCCAUGGUUUUCAAAACAUCCUAUUCCUCUAAUUUAAAACUUAAAAACUACAUUCAGCAAUUUUCUCGUCAUUUUAAACCAUAACAACCAUUUACAUUAUCUUAUUUUAUAUUUAAAAAUAUUAUCCUAUACUACUAUGUUUAUAUAUUUGCAUAAUUCACAAAUUUAAUAUAUAUGCAUAAUGUAAAGUAUAAUAAUAUUACAACUAUAUUUUGAGGCAUGUUAUCAUUGUCAUAGAUGCAUUUUUAGUUAUAUAAUGAUAUUACAAAUAUUUAUUAAUAUAUUAUGUAUGUAUUUUAAUAAUGUAUUGCGUUAAACAAAUCACAAAAAUAUUUGACAAAAAAAUCAAAGCUAAUUAAUCAUAACUAUCAUAUAAUCUAUACUUAUAUCUAAUUAAUUUUUUAAAUAUAUUAUUUUCUGAAAUAAAUCUAUAUAUAAAAAAAAAGAUAAAUCUCACUCCGUGCAAGGCGCGGAUUACUACCUAGUCCUAAAAUAUAAUUAACAUGUUGUUUAUUUUACUUAAUGUUGAAAUUUCAUUGAACACCAUCUCUAUACUUUCAACAGCAUUUUACGUUUAAAUGUUUUCAAAUGUAUUGUGGUACUAUCUUUAAUUUUAUAAUAACUACCAAAGAUUAACUAUAAUUUUUUUUAUAAAUUUUGUACUACUAAACAUGCAUAUUUUUAUUUGAAUAAUCAAAUCUACAAGUAACAAUCUUCUAUUGAGUUUACGAUAUGUAAGAUUAAUAAUUUUACUAUUAAAUUCAUGCAUGUAAUUUAAUAAGCAAUUCGCUAAUAUUUUUAAAUAUAAUAUUAUUUUUAUUUAAAAAAAUCUAAGAAAAAUAUGAACAAAAAUCUAAGAUCAAUUAAUAAAAUAUUAUUAUUUUAUAUUAUUAAUUUAUAGAAAUUUAUAUUAUUAAUUUAUAGAAGUGCAAUAGAUUGUUCGGAAUUGGUGAAAAUGAUGUCGAUACUAGAGAGAUGGCUAGCGUUUGACUUAUACUUGGAGAAGAUUGUGAAAUGGGAAGACUUUCACGUUUUUCAAUUUUACACGUUUCACGUACGAAGGAUACGAAAAUGGACAAUUUAGCACAAAAUGCAUAGAUCUAUCCUCAAGAUGUAAACUCGGUAUCUUCGGUUUGGACAGAUUAGAUUUAUUAUUUUACAAAGACACAUUAAAAAAAAAAACCUUUGUGUCAUGUGUGAUUUACAAUUGUGUCAUGCCGAGGUGUCAAAUUCAGAGAGAUUCUCAGAAUUAUAUUAAAAAUGGUCUCUAAUUGCUAGAAUAAUUACAAUUGUGCCAUUUUAAACCAUAACAACCAUUUACAUUAUCUUAUUUUAUAUUUAAAAAUAUUAUCCUAUACUACUAUGUUUAUAUAUUUGCAAAAUUCGCAAAUUUAAUAUAUAUGCAUAAUGUAAAGUAUAAUGAUAUUACAAAUGAUAGAAGACCAUCCUAGGAUUGUCACACACUUGGUUCGGUGGAGGUUGAUAGAUCCUUGGAUCCAUUCCGGUUCGGUGGAAGAGAUGCUAAGGCGUGAGCGAGAGCUCGAAAAUCCUUAGGCCCAAUUCCAAAGAAGAGGUUGGAAACGAGGGGAUGGACGAAACGAUCAAGGGGGUUGCGAUACCGGAUGUUAGGGUGUGAGACGAGUCCCGAAAUUCUCUAAGCCCCAAAUAUGACUACAACUCUCUUUCUCACUUUGGAAUCGAAGGCUGCGUCAAGCAGGAUGAAACUACUUGAUAAACCGAAGAUCGAGCAAUGGCUAACCACCAAAAUAUUGACAAAGUUCUUAGAGAACAAAAGAGAAAACUCAAAGAGAAAAUUUUAUAAAACGAUAAGUCAUGUGGUUCUGAAUACAUCGAUUCCUUUAUAUAGAGGCUAAAAGGAAGACCAUAGGUCAUUACAGAAAUUAAAGGACAUUAAAUGAAACUAAAUGAGACUAGAUGAGUUGAAUAACGAUUGGAUUUCCGGAUGACCCUUCGCGUCCUCUCGCUAGACCUUUGAGCUCCUUGACCGUUAUACUUUGGCCGCGAAUCGAACUAUGGUCGUGAGAUGGGCGUGCAUUAACCUCGUUAAAACCCCAUUCGGAAAACCCAGUGGGACAAAACCGAAUGUAAGGAAAAAGAGUAUUAACACAACACUCCAACCAGGUCAGUUCGGACCAGAAUACAUGAGCACGGUCAUGACUUUGUGAACGGGUGUUAGAUCGUCAGCUCGGCCUUGGGUCUUUAGCUCGGUAAGAACUUGUUGGAUUUCUCCCGUGAGCUUCUUGGUACGCGACCUGGUCAUCGGUCCAGUUGGCAUGGCCAGGACGUCGUUCUGGUUGGCUCCUCGGUCUUGUACCCCGUCCUGAACCUCGUCUUCGUUUAGCUCGGCCACUUGGUCUUGUGUUCCGGGCUGAACCUCGACUUGUUCCUCAUCCUGAGCUCCUAUCGGUUCCAUGAUUCUAUCAUCCCCCCGUCUUGAAAAGGACUUGUCCUUAAGUCGGCUUCAUCUGCGUGAAAAGGAAUGAUAUCAGCAAUGUUGAAACUUGAACUGACUGAGUACUUACCUCGGAGAUCGAUCUUGUAGGAGUUAUCGUUAAUCCGCUCUAGGAUAGUGAAUGGUCCGUCCACUCUUGGCUUUAACUUAGACUCCCUUUCUUCCGGAAACCUUUCUUUCCUUAGGUAGAUCCACACUUGGUCUCCGGGCUCGAACAUCUUUUUGGUUUUUCCUUUGUUGGCGUACUUCUGAAAUUGCUCCGUUUUUCUUUCGAUGUUUUGCCUUGCCUUUUCAUGCAUCUUCUUCACCAGAUCGGCUUUCUUUUUCCCGUCCAUGUUCUCACGCUCAGUCAUUGGUAAAGGGGUUAGAUCCAAAGGUGUAAGAGGAUUAAAACCCUAAACUAACUGAAAUGGUGAAAACAAAGUUGUAGAAUGAACAGCUCGGUUAUAAGCGAACUCAACAUGAGGCAAACAUUCCUCCCAAGUCCUAAGGUUCUUUUUAAUGACCGAUCUCAAAAGAGCUGAGAACUCCGAAAUGUCCCAUCAAGCCUCCUCCGUGUGCUUCCCUGACAAUCAAGUCACGCAUAGAAGUGUUAGGUAUACACAGUUUAUGCUCAUAAAACAAGUAACCAUCACUCUGGUAGUAUUUGCCAUAGGCAAACUUAGAACUGGCGCGGUAAACUUCUUGGAAAUCCGGGUCGGUUGCAUAGGCUUCCUUGAUCAUCUCAAAUCCAAGUAUCUUGGCAUCAAGCGUCGAGAUUAGGGCAUAACGUCGGGAUAGUGCGUCCGCCAAAACAUUCUCCUUUCCUUGCUUGUACUGAAUCACAUAAGAGAAGGUCUCGAUGAACUCGACCCAUCUCGCAUGUCGCUUGUUCAGCUUCUGUUGUCCUUUGAGAUGCUUUAAGGACUGGUGAUCGGUAUGGAUGACGAACUCUUUGGGCCACAAAUAGUGUUGCCAAGUCUGGAGAGCUCGGACCAAAGCAUAAAGCUCUUUGUCGUAGGUCGGGUAGUUAAGCGUUGCUCCUCCAAGUUUUUCGCUAAAAUAAGCGAUAGGUCGCUUCUCCUGCAUGAGCACGGCUCCAAUUCCCACUCCGGAUGCAUCACACUCGAUCUCAAAGGUCUUGAGAAAAUCGGGCAGAGAGAGUAAAGGUGCGUGUGUAAGCUGGUGCUUGAGGGUAUUGAACGUUUCUUCCUGAGCUCGUUCCCAUUUGAAUCCUACGUCCUUCUUGAUGACCUCGGUGAGAGGGGCUGCGAUCGUGCUGAAGUCUCGGACGAACCGCCGAUAGAACCCGGCCAGACCAUGAAAGCUGCGAACUUCUCCAACCGUCUUGGGACUUGGCCAGUCUCGGAUAGCCUUGAUCUUUUCCUCGUCCACCUGUAUACCCUGUGAACUGACAACAAAGCCUAGGAACACCACGUUAUCCGUACAAAAAGAGCAUUUCUUAAAAUUUCCGAACAAACGUUCCUUCCUAAGGACUUCUAAUACUUGUUUUAGGUGGUUCACAUGUUCCUCUAGACUCUUACUGUAAAUCAGGAUGUCAUCAAAAUAGACUACUACAAAGACGCCUAUAAACGACCUAAGCACAUGGUUCAUUAAUCGCAUAAAGGUACUAGAUGCGUUAGUUAGGCCGAAUGGCAUGACCAACCAUUCAUACAAACCAUCCUUGGUUUUGAACGCGGUCUUCCACUCAUCUCCUUCCUUCAUUCGGAUCUGAUGGUAACCACUCUUUAAAUCUAUCUUUGUGAACACACUUGACCCAUAUAGUUCAUCUAGCAUGUCAUCAAGACGUGGGAUUGGGUGGCGAUACUUUACCGUGAUGUUGUUGAUAGCUCGGAAAUCAACACACAUUCGCCAAGUUCCAUCCUUCUUAGGCACUAAGAGCACGGGCACGGCACAAGGACUUAGACUCUCGCGGAUGUAGCCCUUGGCCAUCAGUUCGUCGACCUGACGUUGGAGUUCCUUGGUCUCAGUCGGAUUGGUGCGGUACGCAGGUCGGUUAGGUAAGGACGCUCCAGGGACGAGGUCAAUCUGGUGUUCAAUACCUCGGAUCGGUGGUAGUCCGCCUGGAUUGUCUUCGGGAAAUACAUCCGCAUAGUCCUGCAAAACCCAAGAAAUCCUGCUCGGAAGUUUCGGCUCGGAGUUUGACGUGCUAGCCAAAGCGGAUUUGAACAUAAGCAAGAUGAAAGGUUGCCUCUCAAGCACAGCCUGUUUUAUCUCUCUCGGCCUCACAAAAAGAGUCUCUCUUCUCACGGGUUGAGUGUUUAAGGCUUUUUGUGGUGGCUCACUCAGUGUUUCACUCUCAUUUUUAGUGGAGGUGUUUAGGGGGUCGCUCAUGGUAGCUUUGCCUUUGUUACUACUUUCCAAUUGGAUUUGAUCCAGAUAUACCUCGUGUGGGGAUAAAGGCGCCAGCACGACCUUCCGUCCUUGGUGUUCAAACGAAUGUUUAUUGGUGAACCCGUCAUGGACUGCUUUCCGAUCGAACUGCCACGGCCGUCCUAACAGGAUGUGUCCGGCCUCCAUGGGUAGAACAUCGCAUAACACCUCGUCUUCAUAUCGCCCAAUCUUGAAUGGGACGGUGACUUGCUUGGUAACCUUGAGUUGCUUUUGGUUGUUAAGCCAUCUGAGGUUGUACGGAUGCGGAUGUUUGAUGGUUUGCAUCCCGAGCUUCUCCACCAUGCUCUGGCUCGCCACAUUUGUGCAACUCCCUCCAUCUAUGACCAUGCUGCAGGUCUUCCCCAUGACUAUACAUCUUGUGUGGAAAAGAUUUUCCCUUUGAUCCUCUUCUCGGACCGGCUCUUGUGACACUAGCACUCGCCGUGCUACCAGUAGCUCUCCUCCAGCCGCAUACUCCUCCUCGGGCUCCUCAUUAUAUUUUGGCUCGGAUUCGUUUUCUGCCUCGGACACGACCUCUCCGGUGUCUAAAAGAAUCAUAGCUCUCUGGUUUGGGCAUUUAUUCGCAUAGUGACCCUUGCCUCGGCAUUUGAAGCAUUCGAUAUCUCGAGUCCGGGCUGAGUUGACCUCGGCUUUGCCUUUGAGGUCGGUGCUUUGACCGGGCUUGGCUUCGAACUUUGGCCGUGUCGGGUAGACCACCUUGUCGUCUCGGUAGGUCGGUCGCGAGCUAGUUCCAGCAGUGAACCGAUUUGUUCCCUUGCGUCUGAGUUGUUGCUCCAAGAGGAUUGCCUUAUGUAACAUCUCGUACAUGUCUUGGUAUUCUUGUAGUUCUAUUCGGUCUUGGAGAUCUCGGUUUAGACCGCUCAAGAAUCUUGCCAUCGUUGCGUCCUCCGGUUCAAAGACAUCAGCUUUGAUCAUAAGCCUCUCCAUCUCCUGGUGAUAGUCUUCCACAGACUUGGUUCCUUGAGUAAGACGUCUGAGUUUGGUGUGUAACUCACGUUGGUAAUGCGCGGGCACGAACCGUUGCCUCAUCAAGGCGGCCAUUCCUAGGUUUCAACAGGUCGUUCUCCGUUUCUUCUUCUACUGAUCACAAUCUGAUCCCACCAAUCGAUCGCGUAUCCGUUGAACUCUGAUGCAGCUAGGUUUAUCUUCUUCCUCUCCGGAAGUUCUUGACAUCCAAAGAUGAUGUCAACCUUCUUUUCCCAUUCCAGGAAUGCGUCCCGAUCGCUCUUGCCGUAGAACGCUGGAAUCCGGAGCUUCAUUCCUCCGAGGUCAUUGUCGUUUCGGCCUCUAGCCGGUUCGGCUUUGUAACGCUGUUGUGGCCGUCCUCCCUCAUAUCAGUCGUUUGGGUUUCUCGCAGGCAUGGCGUGUCCUCGGUCUCGGAUUCCUCCAGCUCGGCCACGGAACAUUCGGUUGCCUUGCGGUCUCACUCGGCUACUACCAGAGGAAUGGUUAUCUUUGUAGAAAGGGUUGUCGACCUCAGGUUCCUGGUUCCGAUCUCGGCGGAUGUGCAUAGGUUCCUCACGGUUUUGAUCGUUUACUUCCGCUGGCCUCGGCUGACCUUCAAGCCGUUCCAUACGUUGGCUCAUGCGCUCCAUCAUCUCGGUGAUUUGAUUAAGCUUAGCCUCCAUCUCCUUAGGGGUGAUCCAGCGAACGUGAUUACCGUCUCGGAACGUGUAGAAUUCACAGUCGUCCAAAGAGAAAUCGGAUGACAUACAAGUACCUCGCAAAAAUUAAACAAACACGUUAGUAAUCAAAUUCCUCACAAGUGUUUCCCUCUUUGUUCACUCACUCUCUUAAUGACCUCACAACACACUAGAGUUUCUCUCCGGUUCUAAGCAAACUAAAUCGACAAAUCGACUUAAGCCUCAAUCGAAUCGGUGAAUCAAGCAAGUUGGACGUUUUAAGAGACAAGAGAAUAGAUAGAAAGAGAAGAAUUCAGAUCGUUUUUUUUUUUUUUUCGAAUUUCCUCUUUUUUUUUUUACGAUUUACACAAGAAAAGAUGAGAAAAGAUUGAAUUCUAAAAUAAAAGAAAGAUAGUACCGAUUCACAAGUGCGUGGCUCUGAUACCACUUGAUAGAAGACCGUCCUAGGAUUGUCACACACUUGGUUCGGUGGAGGUUGAUAGAUCCUUGGAUCCAGUCCGGUUCGGUGGAAGAGAUGCUAAGGCGUGAGCGAGAGCUAGAAAAUCCUUAGGCCCAAUUCCAAAGAAGAGGUUGGAAACGAGGGGAUGGACGAAACGAUCAAGGGGGUUGCGAUACCGGAUGUUAGGGUGUGAGACGAGUCCCGAAAUUCCCUAAGCCCCAAAUAUGACUACAACUCUCUUUCUCACUUUGGAAUCGAAGGCUACGUCAAGCAGGAUGAAACUACUUGAUAAACCGAAGAUCGAUCAAUGGUUAACCACCAAAAUAUCGACAAAGUUCUUAGAGAACAAAAGAGAAAACUCAAAGAGAAAUUUUUAUAAAAAGAUAAGUCAUGUGGUUCUGAAUACAUCGAUGCCUUUAUAUAGAGGCUAAAAGGAAGACCAUAGGUCAUUACAGAAAUUAAAGGACAUUAAAUGAAACUAAAUGAGACUAGAUGCGUUGAAUAACGAUUGGAUUUCCGGAUGACCCUUCGCGUCCUCUCGCUAGACCUUUGAGCUCCUUGACCGUUAUACUUUGGCCGCGAAUCAAACUAUGGUCGUGAGAUGGGCGUGCAUUAACCUUGUUAAAACCCCAUUCGGAAAACCCAGUGGGACAAAACCGAAUGUAAAGAAAAAGAGUAUUAACACAACACCCCCAACCAGGUCAGUUCGGACCAGAAUACAUGAGCACGGUCAUGACUUUGUGAACGGGUGUUAGAUCGUCAGCUCGGCCUUGGGUCUUUAGCUCGGUAAGAACUUGUUGGAUUGCUCCCGUGAGCUUCUUGGUACGCGACCUGGUCAUCGGUCCAGUUGGCAUGGCCAGGACGUCGUUCUGGUUGGCUCCUCGGUCUUGUACCCCGUCCUGAACCUCGUCUUCGUUUAGCUCGGCCAUUUGGUCUUGUGUUCCGGGCUGAACCUCGACUUGUUCCUCAUCCUUAGCUCCUAUCGGUUCCAUGAUUCUAUCAACAAAUAUAUUUUGAGGCAUGUUAUCAUUGUCAUAUAUGCAUUUUUAGUUAUGUAAUGAUAUUACAAAUAUUUAUUAAUAUAUUAUGUAUGUAUUUUAAUAAUAUAAUUUCUAUGCGUUAAACAAAUCACAAGAAUAUUUGACAAAAAAAAUCAAAGCUAAUUAAUCAUAACUAUCAUAUAAUUUAUACUUAUAUCUAAUUAAUUUUUUAAAUAUAAUAUUUUCUGAAAUAAAUCUAUAUAAAAAAAAAGAUAAAUCUCACUCCGCGCGGAUUACUACCUAAUACUAAAAUAUGACUAACAUGUUGUUUAUUUUACUUAAUGUUAAAAUUUCAUUGAACACCAUCUCUAUACUUUCAAUAGCAUUUUACGCUUAAAUGUUUUCAAAUGUAUUGUAGUAUUAUCUUCAAUUUUAUAAUAACUACCAAAGAUUAACUAUAAUUUUUUAUAAAUUUUGUACUACUAAAUAUGUAUAUUUUUAUUUGAAUAAUCAAAUUUACAAGUAACAAUCUUUUAUUGUGUUUACUAUAUGUAAGAUUAAUAAUUUUAAUUUUAAAUUUAUGCAUGUAAUUUAAUAAGCAGAUUCGUUAAUAUUUUUAAAUAUAACAUCAUUUUUAUUAAAAAAAAGAAGAAUAUGAACAAAAAUCUAAGAUCAAUUAAUAAAAUAUUAUUAUUUUAUAUUAUUAUUCUAUAGAAAUUUGUAUUAUUAAUUUAUAGAAGUGCAAUAUAUUGUUCGGAAUUGGUGAAAAUGAUGUCGAUACUAGAGAGAUGGUUAGCAUUUGACUUAUACUUGGAGAAUAUUGUGAAAUGUGAGACUUUCAUUUUUUUUUUUAAUUUUACACGUUUCACGUAUGAAGGAUACAAAAAUGGACAAUUUAGCACAAAAUAUAUAGAUCUAUUCUCAAGAUGUAAACUCGGUAUCUUCGGUUUGGACUACCAAACCAAGCCGUUUUAAGUAUCUCAAAAACUCGAAUCUGGAUAAAAAUCUCUAAUAAAAAUCAGAUUUCGCUUUUGGUUUAUUUCGGUUUAGUAUUUUGUUUUUUUCGGCCUCGGUUUUGUAGUUUUUUUUUCUCAAUUGAUGAGUGUAGGGAAAGAAAUUUGUGAGAAAAACACACAGAAAAUUACAAAAAGUAGAAAUAAAGUGGCUGUUCGAUAAUCCCUUAUGAUGCAAGAAAAGAAGCUCUUUUUAAUUCGCAAACUAACUCAUUAAAGGGCUUUGUUCCAUUAUCUCGUUUUGGGGAUUUUCAAUCGGAUCUCUUAACAUUCUCGAAAAAAAAUGAUCGAUUUCAGUCGAGUCCAGAAGGAGCUCCAAGAUUGCGAGAAAGACAAGGAUGCUUCGGGUAUCCGGGUCAGCCCGAAAUCCGAUAACCUUACCCGACUCACCGGAACCAUCCCUGGUCCAAUCGGUACUCCUUACGAAGGCGGCACUUUUCAGAUCGAUAUCACGAUUCCAGGUCCGAAAACGAAAAUUUUCGUCUAUACGCUUUUGAUUAGUGAUAAAAGUUUGGGGAUUUCACUUGUUUUUGCUUCAAUUGAGUUAGGGGGUUUCGAAAUUUCGUGUGCGGAAAGUGAAAUCCUUCUCGAAUUUUGCUAUUGUGGUGAAUGGGUUUAUGAGUUCAUAUUCUAGGGUUUAUGGGUCUUAUGAUUCGUAUUGUGUGAUUUCCAUCAAUCAAUCUUUUUAUUAGUUUAUCAUUUCCUCAAAAAUUGCAGAAGGGUAUCCAUUUGAGCCUCCAAAGAUGCAAUUUUCAACCAAAGUUUGGUAAGAAGAUGACUCUGGUUCUUAUAUCAAUCUCUCGCAAAAUAUGUAUCUGUAUGUAUGUUUGAUAAGUGAAGGAACUUAAACCUAUAGUAUUACAGUUUCUGCAUCUAUUAUAGAGAUUGUAUCAUUACUAUGCAUAACUCUUUAGUCUCAGUUUUUGCUGUCUCAUAUACAUUAUAAUCUCAUAUUAUCUGUGGCCAGAAGUUUGGUCUUUGGUAGAGUUGUUUUAAGGUUCUCUUCAACUUUCUCUUUACAUACAUUUUACCAUUACUAAUUCGGCUUGUGUUAAGGUAUAUCAAUUCUCUAUUGACUCGUAAGAUAUUUAGACAAUGAAUUAUGUGGUAAUAAAUGCUCUAUCUUCGUUGAUUCGUCUUAAUUAAAACCCGAAGGCACCCGAACAUAAGUAGCCAAAGCGGGGCAAUAUGCUUGGAUGUCCUGAAAGACCAGUGGAGUCCAGCUCUUACUUUGAAGACAGCUCUUGUUUCGAUCCAGGCAUUACUCUCUACACCAGAGCCCAAAGACCCUCAAGAUGCUGUUGUAGCUGAACAGGUUCGAGUACAUUACCUUAAUCAUCUUCGGUUCUUUCCCUUUUAAUAAGUCACUUUGAACCAAUUCUGAUCUCUCUGAUGUUUACAGUACAUCAAGAACUAUCAAGUGUUUGUAUCAACAGCUCGUUACUGGACCGAAACAUUCGCCAAGAACUCUUCGCUAGAGGAAAAAGUGAGUUGUUGAUAUGACUAUCUAUAUCUAAUGGUUUGAGUAAAAAUGCAGUGUCUGGUUUGUGUAUUAAAAGGUUUGUAUCGGAUUUGAUUUUGUCACAGGUCAAGAGACUCGUGGAGAUGGGUUUUGGAGAUGCUCAGGUUAGGAGCGCAAUUGAAUCAAGUGGUGGAGAUGAGAAUCUGGCAUUGGAAAAGCUCUGUUCUGGUUAGAUUCUAUCAAAACAGGCCUCAUUGGCGCUAGAUAUGAUAUUAAUUUGGGCUGUUAACUUAAUGUUGUGAGAUUUUGCUCUUGUCUGAUGAUAAAGAGUGAAACUUCUAUGAAAUUUUUUACUAAAUGCAAUCUAUAAAACAGAUUAUAUCUAGUGGAUCAGUGAGCAUGGAGUGUGUCAGGUUUAUUCAUGAUGAUUAAUCAAAUGUCUUCUGAAUUCUGAUUGAUAGAAUUGGUUGUUUUUCGUGAUAGAACCGGUGUAUUUCUAAUAGCUAACCGGGUUUAUGUUCAAUUCAAAUAAACCAAACUGAUCUGAAACCAAACUGCAAUAACCAAUCUAAAAUUUGAACCGUGUACCACAAUUGAUUAACUUUUUGUUAUCUGAACUGAAACCGGACUGAAUAAAGCGAAAGAAAAAUACACAAUUCAUUCUAAACUUCUUAACUAAUGUAUCAGUAUUUGAUAUAAGAUUAAAUUCAAAGCAAAACCAUAAUGUUAUCAAACCAUCCAUUCAAGAUAAACCAUCCGAACCAAAUUAAAGUUCAUUAUAAACCAUAAUGUUAUCAAACCAUCCAAAUCCAACUAACAUUCAGAUUUAACACUUCUAGUUUUUUUGGUUAGUGAAAACUGAAACCAAGUGUGAAUCAGUCGAAGGCAGAGAGAGAGGUUGAACCAUUAAAGGCAUUGCAUUUAGUGAACAAGAAAGCCAAACGUAUAAUUUGGUUUGAAACUCAACUACCAAUAAAUUCCAUUGUUGACCCAUCCAUUUACAUCCUUCUGCCUUUUCAAAUUUUCCCAUUAUUUUAUUAAUAUAAUUUACUCAAAUUAAUAAAUUUAUUAUAUUAAAACAGAAUCACGUUAGUGUUUAUUUUCAAAUACUUCCAAAGUUUUUUUUAAAAAUAUUUAUUUAUAUAUAUAAAUUUAAUUUCAAAAAUUAGAUAUUAAUUUAAAUAACUAAAAAAAAAUAAAUAUAGAUUAUAUCUAUAGUCUAUACAUAUUAAUUUAAAUAGACUUCCUUAAAUAUAAAUUAAAUUUAAUUUAAAAUUUGAAAUUUAAAUAAGAUUUUCAGAAUAACAUAUUUAAUUAACAAAUAUUUUAUUAUAUUUUUUUAAUCAUAUUCUAUCAGAUUAAAAUUUCACAUAUUAAAAAUAGAUAAAUAUUAAUAUUAUAUAAUAAUUUGAUGGGAUAAAUUAAGUUUUUUUUAUAAUUAUAGUCUUAUGCAGAUUAGGUUAUCAAAGCAUGCAAGAUAUUAGGGGAAAAUUAUUUCAAAAUUAGUAAAUUUUUUACUAAAUGCAAUCUAUAAAUAUUUAAAGUAAUAUAAAUGGGCGGGUUAAAUUAUGGUUUCAUAAUCAUAGUCUUUUUCGGAUUAAUAAAAUGAACGGAUUAAAAAUAUAUUUUUAUAAUAACGAUUACUUUUUGAUUAAUAAAAUAAUCAGGUUAAAAUUAUGUUUUUAUGAUCAUGAUAGUCAUAAUAAUACUGAAAAAAAUAUAUAUAUAUCUAAACACAAUUUUUUAUAUUACUUAUUAAAAAUUAUAUUUAUAAAGAAUACAUAAAUUAAAUUACAAAUUUUGAUUAAAACAAAAUUCUAAAAUCUAGUACUGAAUUAAUUUUGAAUCAUUUGUAUUUGAAGAACUCACCUAGUCUUGGCAAACACUCUCUUUCCUCGACAAAACGUGCAUAAGCUUUCUCGUCGUCAUGGCCUCAUGGGUCUUUAGUUUUCUUACUUUUUAUUCGUUUUGGUUUUGGUUUUUUUUUUUAACUUUUUAUUUGGUUUGGCUCUUUGAGAACACUCGAAUUUUAAAUUAGGCUUCGGGGGAGACUAGUGUAACUCCAUAGUCAAAACUCAUAAAAGUUUAUGACUUUUGUUUUGCAUAAAUCAAUUUAUAGUGGAGCAUUCCUUGAUAUAUAAUGAUUAUGAAGUUGCUUUAAUGUUUAUUUCUCAAUAAAAUGAUUUCGAAUUUUAUAAUAGAAUAAUGAUAAUAUUAAUAAUAAUAAUAUUGUAAAUAAGUGAAGUGGAGUAUGCAGCAAUGAGGAAAGAAUCUAAGAGCGGCUUUAGGUUUAGACCAAUAUUUCGUCCAUAUUUAUAUUCAAUUGUUGGUUGGUUCUUGCUGAAGUAUAUUCUAUAAAAAUCUUUAGGACUAAAUUGAAUGAUUGUAAAUUUGUACCAGAUUCGAAACUACGAUGCUCUGUCAAAGAUAUCUACGAACACUUGUGUAAGUGUUCGUAGAUUUUUAUAUGAGAUUUUUCUCAAUUGAAACUUGUUGUUGUUCUAACUAAAGUGACAUAAGAUCAACUACAUAUUUUAAUUUAGAUUUUGAGAGAUUUGCACAAGCUGCCAUUUUAUUUAAAUCUUAGUUAAAUUUAUGUCAUUCUAAAAAAAAUCUGUAAUUUAAAAUUUUGUUGCUGAAUUUACCCUGAUUUUUUUUUAUUUGAUGCUUUAAAGUCAACGAAUCAUGAAACACUCGUCAAUCGUUGUCAGCAUUUGCAGCAUCGACGAAUGUUUAAGAUUAUCAUUUCGAUUUGUUGAUAUAUUGCAUCUGAUACAAAAGGAUUCAACUUGAAUGAAUACUAAUCUAAUCGAAUCUAUACUCUAUAGACCAAAACAACAAACUUUUUAUGGAUUAACUUUCGUAAUUCUUUAACCAUGAAGACUUAAUAAACAUAGAAAUUUAUGUCCAAACCAAUACCCUAGCGAAUAUUGUUGAGUUGGUUUCACUGAGUCAUCGGUCUGUUUGACAUCCCUAACCUCAAUUCAAAUAGAUGGAAAUAUUACAACAUAGACUUUUUUCGUAACAGUACUGAUUUUCAAAUUAAUUUUAUCGUUUACAUGCGUCUCUGAUGUCACACAAAAAAUAAUGACAUAAAAGCAUAAAAAGAAUUUUGAUAAAGAAAGAAACAACAAAGUCAAAUCUAUUUGAACAGAAAAAAAAAAGUAGAAUAACUUUUUGGGGCUUUAAUUUCUUACAGAUGAUAAAAAAGGCUUUUUUGUUUCCAACUUUAUUCACCUUUAGGCAGGCCUUUCUAUACAACAAAUACGGAAAUACCAAAAUUCCAUGGCAGCAAAAGUAGAUUUAAUCUUUAAUUUAUUUUUCACAACUCUCUUAAGCUAUACAUAUAGAGAGAUGUCCAUUGUCAAAUCUCAGAUUAAUCUAAAAAAAAUCGUAAAAUAGAACUACUCGUAAAGUAUUAACAGAAAACCACCAUUUUAUUUCACUCUACUACGUGCCAAAGACUCGACUGAGUCCAAAACGUUGUCGUUUAGCGAUUCACCAUUUUCUCACUGUGUAAUGUAUCUUUCGAAGUGAGAAGACAAAAACACACAAAAAGCUGAAAUCAAUUCAUCGGUUUACCGAUCACGGAGAUAUGAUAAGCUAAAGAAAAAGAAGAACUUUUUGCGAUUCAAACGAUUUUUUAGGCCAAUGGGCUGCGUUUGCUGCAAAAAUUCCGCCGGAGAGAAACGGAAUCCCAAUGAAACUGCUCCGGGAAACCUCCACCGCCGUGAAUCUAAGGCGGAGGAUUUGCCUUCUUCCUCCACCACCGUGUCUGUACCGGAGCUCGAUACCGGAGAGAAGAAGAAGAAUUCGGGUUUGGAUUCGAUUCAGAUUCAAACGGCGAGAACGUGGCACACUGGCGAUUUCUCGGCUGGCUCUUCUCGUCGGCCGUUUGGAAUGAGCCUCCGUGCUCCGGAAGUUUGGCCACCGUGGCUAAUUGCUGCUUGCGGCGAAUCGAUCAAAGACUUGACUCCUCGCCGAGCCACCACUUACGAGAAGCUCGAGAAGGUAACCAAAACACUAAUCAUCAAAGAUUAGCAUUAAAUUAAGUAAUCAAAACACUAAUCAUUAACAAUAAAUGAUGAAAUCUUUGAGGCAAUAUUAGAAAGUUUCGAGCUUUACAUCCAAUUAAUUUCCUUUUUCUUGAUUAGUUUAUUUGCUUAAUUAUACUCUUUGUUGUUUUGUUCUUAAUGAAUGAUGAUUACACACUAAUCAUAAACAAGAAAUGAUGAAAUCUUUGAUGGUAUAAUUAGAAAGUUUCUAGCUUUACAUCCAAUUAAUUUAUUUUUUCUUGAUUAGUUUAUUUGCUUAAUGAUACAUUUUUGUUUUGUUGUUAAUGACAAUCUUUAGAAUUUUUUUUUUUUAGAUUGGGCAAGGAACUUACAGCAAUGUGUACAAGGCGAAAGAUCUAUUGACUGGAAAAAUCGUAGCUUUGAAGAAAGUGAGGUUUGAUAAUUUGGAAGCAGAGAGUGUUAAGUUCAUGGCAAGAGAGAUUCUUGUGCUGCGACGGUUAAACCAUCCUAAUGUUAUAAAGCUUGAAGGUUUAGUUGCUUCAAGGGUUUCGUGUAGCCUCUACCUUGUUUUUGAGUACAUGGAGCAUGAUCUCUCUGGCCUUGCUGCAACUCAAGGUGUUAAAUUUGAUCUUCCUCAGGUGUGUGUUUUCGUUUUUUCGUUUCGUUUCUUACCACAUACAAUGCAUUGUUUUACAGAAGAUAAAUGAUUAAUUACAUGUAUGAAGUUGGUGUGAAAUGUUGAUAUGCUUCCAAGUAUAAGUGGUAAUUAUGAAUUUGAUGUUUUUAGGUUUCUUUUCUGAUGUCUUUUUAUUUUAUUUUGUCUUUAGGUCCACAGAUCCUGUUUUGGUCACAUAUGGUCAUGUUUGCGUCUUGCUUGGUUUUGUUUAUAUUGUGCCUUUGGUGAAGUUAUAAUGAUUUGUCUGUGGACCCAUUAUGUUUCUGGUUUCUGGUUUCUGGUUUCUGGUGAAUUUCAACGUCCUUUAUGAAUUGUCAUUCAUUGGAUUUGGUUCUUUUAUUAUCUAUGCAUAUUGAUAUUAUUGCAUAAUCUUAAGUUGCAGAAUUAAGAAACAGAUUAGUCUGAAAAAGUUUAUAAACAAAGAUACCAACUUGUAUAUGAAUAUUAUAAGCUUUAAUGGUGGAGUUUUCUUUCUUUUUUGUUGUUGUUGUUUAGGUGAAGUGCUUUAUGAAACAGCUACUAUCUGGACUAGAGCAUUGCCAUAGCCGAGGAGUAUUACAUCGAGAUAUCAAAGGUUCUAAUCUUUUGAUAGAUAACGAUGGAACACUGAAGAUUGCUGAUUUUGGGUUAGCUACGUUUUAUGACCCAAAGCAAAAGCAAACAAUGACUAGUCGUGUUGUCACGCUCUGGUACCGACCUCCCGAGCUUCUUCUUGGAGCUACCAACUAUGGAAUCGGUGUUGAUCUUUGGAGUGCUGGUUGUAUUAUGGCAGAGUUACUUGCUGGCAAGCCCGUUAUGCCAGGAAGAACCGAGGUAAACAAGAACCGUGUUUAAUCUUGUUCUUGUUAGUCUGCUUAGACAUUCUUGUAGGGCCUUUUGUCUUAGUUUAAUGCUUCUUGGUGAAUUGAUUUAUCCUUUGGAAACCAACUACACGAAUCUUGGAGUCUUGGACAAUAAAUGCAAUGUACAACUGAAUAUUAAUGAGGUUGUUUGUUUACCGUUUAUUUCUUACCUAAUUUGUUU